UUGGUAACAAAUCCAACCACAAAAUUGUGCAAGCAACCCACAAGCUAGUUUUAUUGAAUAUUAAAAUAACAUAGUUGAUUUCUAAAACAUACAAAAUUUAUUAUCUCAUCAACACAUAAUUAUUUUGAUAACCAUAAGGUUGAGAUUUAUCCACCCAAAAUAGGGGAGAUAACAAAACUAUUGUGUUGUUGUUGCUGGUGUGCAAUUAAUCUUGCAGGGACAGUUGAUGAAGCAUUCUCCAAGGUCUGGCCAGCACAAGUUAUCUAUUUGACAACAGAAUUCCCGUCCUGGGAGCUGGUGCCCAUCUUUAUAACAAGGGGGUCUGGUUACAUGGCUUACUUUGCUCAUCAUGUUUCUCCCCUUGUUGUUUAUGAUUUCACCUAAUUAACAUAAAAUAAAGAAUAUACUUAUCAUUUCAUCAUAUAAACAAUAAAAGUCCACAAUAUCAAUCCCCCCAAAAAAUUGAGUUGUUAAUUACCAUAUGUGCCUCCAAGACAAGUUAAACACACCACAAGAAGAAAAGAAAGUAGCACAAGUCCUUGCACAUUGUUCCUCGUGAACUUUGUCAUCGUCACUAAGGAAAAGAGGCUAUUAAUAGGUGGUACUCUUGUAAGUGGAGUUGAUAAGUGUAUGACCGUGAAAUGCUUGCUCCAUGAAUGGUUCAUAUAUAUAUAGGAAAAGCUUCUCCGCGUUGAUGUGUGAAGUUAUAGAAAAUAUUAAUGCUACGAGUUAUGGCUUGUCUGAAUUUCCAAUUUUAGUUUAACUUCUAAAGAUUCAUGGUUCCUUCUAAAGUUUUUUUCCUCAAAUUGAUGCUUUGUCAUAGCAUGUAAGUUACUUUAAUGCCCCCUCUAGAAUUGACCGCUUAUUGUUUCCAAAGGGUAGAAUUGACCUCUUAGAAUGGGUAGCAAAAAACGGGUGCAUGGCAAUAUUGUGUUUAAGGCAUUGAUAAUAAUUGGUAUAAUAUUAAUAAUUCCUAUAUAUAUGAUGCCUUAUCAGUAAAUUAUUAAUUUCUCUCUUGGUAUAAGAGAACAAAAUUUAAAAUUCAACAAGACUCGUCCACUUAACAUUGGACUUGUUUUUUAAUGUAUAUAAGCAAUUGUUCUUAAGUAUAUCAGCAAGUUACGGAUACAUUUUUUUACUUUUAUUCCAUGAACAUAGAUUAAUUAUGGGAUGGCCAUUUUAUAAAUAUAAGAUGAUGAUUUAUUUUCAUAUACAUGAACAUUUUAUAUCAAGGUAGUUGAGCAUUUUUUACAUUUUUCUAUACACAAAAUUUUCUCCAAUAUUAAGUUGAUUUUGAUUUCUUUAAAUAGAUUAGUUUCCCCAAAACGUUCUUUAUUAGAAUAGUGAAAAUGUUGCACUUGCCCGACUAUGGCAAAUUUCGUUAAUUCUCGGGACUCCCUAUAUGUUCCUCCUUGCGGCUAACAACCUCCCCUUCGGAUAGUGCGCGCCUGGCUGGGCCGGCCCAUUGACGACACGAAUGGACACCACUGAGUGGGAGAGUAGGCGCUGAGCCAAUCCACUUCAGCGACAAUUUUUUAAAUUUUGGAAAAUUUCUUUGCAAAAUGAACAAGCAUUGAUAAAUGCGAAGUUUUUUUGAACAUAUUCUAAAAUUUGAAAUUUCUUAAAACCCCAAUUAUAUUUGGAAUUUCGUUCAUUUUUCUGAAAAUAUGAACGAUUUAGGAAAUACUGAAGAUUAUUUGAAAACUACGUCCUUUCCUUGGAAAACCAAAAAUUUAUUUAUAACAAAAUAUGAGAAUCGGAACAUUUCCUGAAAACUUGAAUAUUUUUUAAAUUUCAAAUUUACGCACAUUUUAAAAAAGGAGACUUUUUGAUAGAGAAAAUAAGAAAAAUAAAACAUGGAAAAACCAAAUAUGUAAAACUAAAAAAUAACCCAAAGAAAACGGUAACAGAAACAGAAGGAAAAAAAGAACAAAUGAAAAUACUAGUAAAAAUCAUAUCAGAACCUUUUAGAACGCUCCCAAAAUUGGUAAAAGCCCAGAAGGAAUAUUCCGGAAGUUCAUAAAACUAGAGAGGCGCGGCUAACAUGGGUCGGCCGUCCCAAGCUCUAGCAUCGAUUCUGUGUGCAAUCCCCGGCAAUUUGAUGUUUACUGCUCAAAUAGGGUUUUCGCCAAUUCUCUUGUUUCUUGUUGCCUCAUAUGAGUUUGUUGUUGUUUGGGACAUACCUUGGCGCCAUUUGUACGGGUUCGAUGACCGCCAUCAAGGGUCUCUUAGUGGAAUCACAAUAUCUUGCAUCGUGUGAGGGCGUGAGGAGAUUAUAGUGGCCCUAGUGGCAUUUUGGGGAGCAUUGUGCCUCCACAGUGCUCCAGACGGAGAUUAGCAUCUGCAAUGUCGUCUCCGCGUGCCUCAGUUAUUUCUUACCCGAGCCCUUUACUUUGUGAUAGCCAUAGUGUUUCAUGUUAUAUAUCUUGCUAUCACAUAGUUGUUUGUCGUGCUUAGCAUAAGUUGUUGGUGCACAUAGGUGAGCCUAGUGGUUUUAGCUUUUAUGCUUGACAAAUUAGACACUAGUUUUAUUCUACAUUUGUUCAAGCCUAAAUAGUAAUUAUUUUAAAGCAUCUAUUCACCCUCCCUCUAGGCAACAUCCACGAUUUUUCAAGUGGUAUCAGAGUGUCGCCUCUCUUUAUUAGGCUUAACCACUUAGAGAGUAAAGAUGUCGACUAGGGGAUUAGGAUUCUUUGACACUCUUUGUUUCAAUGGCACAAUUUUUGAUGUUGUUGUAAUUCGUAUGGUUAAUCUCUUUAGGGUCAUGGACCCAAAUUUAGAGCGAAUUUUAGAUAUUAGUUUUCAUCCUUCAAAGGAUCCUCAAAGAUUAUCUCUAGAGGAUGAGAAAAAACUCUUAUCUCACUGCUCAAGCUUCUAAUGUGCUUUUUGAUGCUUUGAACAAUGUAGUUAUAUUUGAACUUAUGCUAUUCUGGGAUGCUCAUGAUUUGUGGACAAAGCUUCAAGAUAAAUAUGGUGUGUCCAGGAUUUCUAGGAAUGAUUAUUCUCCCUCCAUCUCCAGUCUUAUGGUGUUCUCAACUUCUUCCACUUCACCUACAUGUGGAUUGCCACAAGGUAGUGAUAUGGUGAGUAGUGUUGGUCAUUGCAAUGAUUAUAGUGGGCUUAUUGUUGAUGAUCCUUCAUCGCUAUCUUAUUGAAUGCUCCGUCUUUGCACUUCAACACUUCGAGAUCUCUAGAUGGUUCACACGCUCGUGUUGAUAGUCCUUGCAUAUCACGUAGAAUUUGCUCAACUAAAUCUCAUGAUGAUAUGCUUGCUAUGUCUUGCUGCCAUGAUAAAAGUGCCUCUAUUUCCUCGAGUUGUUGUGCAAACAGUGUAAAGGAAACCCUACACUCCAUGGAACAAGAUGUGGUCCUGAAUGGUGCUUCAAGGGAUCCAACAUCAUCAUCUAUUGUUUCUCACUUUUGCCUUAUGGCUACGGUUUCAAAGGUAUCUCCCAGUUUGAAUCCCAAUAUAUAUUGUGAUGAUGAUGUUCAUGAUAAUCAGGGGAGGGGCCCCACCCAGUUGAAAUAAGGGGAGGGACCCUACCCAGUUGAAAUCAGGGGGUGGAGUGAUCAGUUAGGAAAGUUAAGUAAGAUUACGUAGGAUUUCUACGUAAUGCUACACCUACGUAGCUAUCAUACAAGAAUUUCUCCUCCCUCUCGUCCCAUUGCCCCUUCCAUGGCACUCUGCUCGAUAAGAAUAUUCUCCACUCCAGCAACACAUGUAUCUUCAGUAGUCCUAGUGCAAUUUUGCCUUCCCCAACUUUUCUACAUCAAAAUCCACAUCUGCACGAGAUGUACCAACAAUCAGUCGGGUUACGAAAGCUAUAUUUUCCACACAAGGGAAGGGCUAGAAAUCAAUACUGCAAAUUUGUCAUCUUAGGACUGGCAUUUACAUUUAUAAUUUAACAAGAACAGAUCACAUCAUAGUUCAAAUAAGAUAAGUAUGAAUGGACAUAAGUUUCCCAGUUAUAGGAUCAAACUAUAGGGGUGCUGCAAAAGCAACAACUUUGAACCAAGCUUCAUUGCCUCAGUAUACGAGUAGAAACCUGGGAGCCCUCCCUUGUUACCCUUCAUGGUGACAAACUAACAAUCUCGCAUGCAAGUUUCUUCCGGAGGUGCUCCAGCUGAGCCUGGGCGAGAAAAAAAAUACAGCUUUCAGUCCACCUCACAGUUUGUUCACUGUGGACACGCCCUGAACUACCAUGCUUUUACCUCACUAUGUUCAAACCCGAGGAUGUUGUGCAUGAUGUACACAUCGCUAUCCUCCUUAAGAUCACGGGAUCAGUAUUCGUCUUUGUUAGUGUGAAGUAUAACAAAAAAAAUUAUCCUUGUUCAAAGUCAGAUGUACUAACCUCGUGCACAGUUUGUUCCGCGCCACUAAAGGGUACACAAAAGUCCAUCCAGUCGUGUCAACCAACCCGGCACCAAAAAUGUCAUUGAACACUCACCCCUUCGACCAUUCGAACCUCUGCGAGCCAAUGCUGGCCUCGAGCUGCCGAGGUUUCUGCUGUUGCAGUACAUCUCAUUGGUAGGAUCCCAGCAGAUUUUGUGGCUGAAGCACACCCAUGGGUAGGACAAGCAUUAGUCAAGAGCAAACUUUAAAUCUUUUAGAACACCAACUACAAAUGUGAAACUAUUUGCUUGCCGUGCACCCACAUUCUAGUUCUAACUUUGCCAGUUCCGCAACAGCAAACAUUUCGUCCAAUCUUAUCUGUUCUUCUUUGUCAACCUCGCCAACAACAUCUUGGUUUGUUUGACUCCUGGCAUUCGCACUAUUCGCCCCAACUCCACUUCCGGCAACAUCUCUCAUUCUCAGCUUCAGCUGAAGCCUGCUCAAGCUCCACAGCCAUGGCCCCCUGCAUGCACAAUUGACUCCAAAUAAACAUUCUUGGACUACCAACCUGACCCAAGGCCACCUCGCAAUUCCGAUGAAAUACGUAGGUUGCUCUACCCAGCUGGUGCUCCAAUGGGUUACCUUACAUUGCAAAACAAUAUUGGUAUUUAUAUUUUUGUGGUCCAGCAUUGCUGCAUUUGUCGACAAAUAGUGCACUCGUCGAACAGCAAUCAAGCUUUUUUUAGAAGGAGGAUGUACCCCCGGCCUCUCCAUUCGGAUGAUGCAUUCAACCAUAUUAUUAAUUAUCCACAAAGAUCAUACAAGGUGAUACAUCAAUAAGCCUGAAGCCAUCAUCUUGGCAAUGUUGUUGCUACUUCUAUCCCCUUGAUGAAGGUGUGUCGGAUGUCCGAGCCUAAUACCAUGCAGACAUCGCACCAAAACCUAACAUAUAAAGCCGGGUGUCCCAUCCAAGCCACUACCUGGAAUGGGUCCCACAUCGGUCUGGCAGACUCCCAGUGAGCACCGCACGCUGCAAGGGUCGUCGCCUCCAUCUUCCAUCAGUCCAUCCUCAAAGCAGAACUGAUGCACUGACCGUGACAGGCCUCUCUGCCAUCAAUGCCACCAUGACGCUGGACAGCUUCCUCCUCCUGCGCGAGUCCAUCUCUGUGCAUCAGACGCCAAGUGUCCAUUGCGCCAUGCCGCCGAGACCCACCGUCAAUGAUACGGUUGAUGCCACACCGCUCCACCUACAUGCCAUCUCGCAUCGACUCCGAACUACCAGCAGCUCCACCACCUUGAGCAGUCCCUGUCCGACGCCUUCAGAAAGGAACACGACACCAAAGUACCAUUGUCGCCCAAACAGAGGAACAGAGACUUUUGCAUGCGCUCAUGGCAGAGGUGGGGGGCGUAUGAUCCACACCAAAGCCUCCAGGAAGGGAAUCGGCGCCGACGGCGUAGACUUUGGUGCGGCCGCCACGCCGGCCUGAAGUUUCCCCUCGAUUCAUGCCCACCCGCCAGACCCUAUCCAGGCAGUAUAAGUGUCGACCGUAUUCGCUACCGUUGCCAGCACGAACUGGAGAGUAGAUCUACUGUAGGUAGGGUAUAAUGUUUGGUACACGUGCAAUGUUCAGAUUCAUUUUUCAUUCGUCAACUCCCAUUCCCAGCCUGAAUUACUAGGGCCCCUUCAGGGAGAGAUACGGGGGAGUUACCCCCGUCAAUUCAUAUUACCUUCCCUCCACAACUCCUAUGUCCCCGAACCAUACAGGGGAUUUUUAGUGUCAUAGCCUCUUAAUUCCCAUUCCCCAGCUUUUCUUCCCCCCAACCAAACAGGCUGUAAGAGUGAUUCUUGCAUCGCGCUCCAGCAUCACAACUCCUUGCCGAACUGAAUCUACUAAGUUCCAUACAAAUUUAGCUUGAUUUAUGUACAUAUGUACAAUGUGACGACAGUAGUGGAGUUGCUUUUUCGCUAAAUUCAACACACAAUGGACAGGAUACUGUAUGCCACCUAGUUUAGAGAUAGCUAUUAAAGUUUUAUCAUUUGAGCAUCCUUAUUCAAAUUAAUAUGUGCUAACGAUACUAUUGAGGCUUCUAAGAUUUAAGUACCCAAACUCGACUUCUGUAGAUAAACAUAGAAGUACAAUCUUUGCAUAGGUAUACACUAUCUUCCAAUAUAUGAUUUCAUUCCAUUGUGUAAUUUGGUCGAAAAAUUACGGCGUGCUUUUGGUGACUAGACUAGAGUAGAAUUGGCAUAAGAGCUAAUGCAAGGAAGAAAAUCAUGCCCCAGACAUUUGCAUAGCCCGACUCAAACUUGCCAAAUGUAGCAAGUUUUUUUAUGCAAAUUCCAAAUGAUAUUUAAUUUAUCAAAAAUAAUGAAAUUUAGUUCAACGUUUCAGGCCUGAAGCAAACCUGAAUCAUCUAUACUUCUUAUCCUCCUAAUCUUUGCAGAACCAGCAAAAGUGGGCAAUAAGAACCGAACAAAUGAAGGCCUCUAUUUUGUCUGCAGCACAUAAACCCUUUAUCACUACUAGGACAAGGCCUACUAAUGGCGCACCAGUUUUGCCUACUAAUGGCGCACUACUGGUGCGUCAUUAGUAUCACGCCACUAAUAUUUUUUACUGAUGGCGCAUCAAUAGUGCGCCAUUAGUAUCUGGUAUACUAAUGGUGCACCACUGGUGCGCCAUUAGUAUAGGCCACGGUGCGCCAUUAAUAUUUUUGAAUUUUGAAGGUGGGAAAAUAGAAGUGGCGCACCGUCUAACCCCCAUGGUGCGCCAUUGCUAAUUUUGAAUUUUGAAUUUGGAUCUGGAUCGCGAUUUCUUUGCCCAUUUUUUGCUCUUUUUUUUUGCACGAUAUUAUUUCAAAUUUUGUUCCUGUUUUUGGAUCUUGUACGUUCUUUUGCCGUGUUCUUUUGCCGGAGAGGAGUUCGCCGGAGAGGAGUUUGCCGGAGAGGAGGAGGAGGUCACCGGAGAGGAGUUCACUGGAGCAUCGGAGAGGAGGAAGGAGAAACCAUGAUGGGAUGGGAGGAGAGGAGGGAGAAGGAGCUCACCGGAGAGGAGGGAGGAGGAGCUCACCGGAGAGGAGGGGGGAGGAGCUCACCGGAGAUGAGGGAGGAGGAGCUCACCGGAGAGGAGGGAGNNNNNNNNNNNNNNNNNNNNNNNNNNNNNNNNNNNNNNNNNNNNNNNNNNNNNNNNNNNNNNNNNNNNNNNNNNNNNNNNNNNNNNNNNNNNNNNNNNNNNNNNNNNNNNNNNNNNNNNNNNNNNNNNNNNNNNNNNNNNNNNNNNNNNNNNNNNNNNNNNNNNNNNNNNNNNNNNNNNNNNNNNNNNNNNNNNNNNNNNNNNNNNNNNNNNNNNNNNNNNNNNNNNNNNNNNNNNNNNNNNNNNNNNNNNNNNNNNNNNNNNNNNNNNNNNNNNNNNNNNNNNNNNNNNNNNNNNNNNNNNNNNNNNNNNNNNNNNNNNNNNNNNNNNNNNNNGUGAGGGGAGGGGAAGGGAGGAGAGGAGAGGAGAGGAGGGAGGAGGAGGUCGCCGGAGAGGAGGAGGAGGUCGCCGGAGAGGAGGAGGAGGAGGUCACUGGAGAGGAGGAGGGUAGUAUGGUGGAGGAGAAAAGGGAAGAUGGAGUGGAGGAGUGGAGGAGAGGUGGAGUGGAGGAGAAGAAUGAAGAGGUAAGGAGGAGAGGACAUGCCCAGCCAUAUAUACGGCAUAGUAAUGACGCAUCGUGGGCAGGUGCGCCAUUACUUUUUUUAAUUUUUUUAAUUUUAAAGGCGGGAAGAUAGUAAUGGCGCACCAUGGGCAGAUGCGCCAUUAGUAACUUUUUUUUAUUUUAAAUUUUGAAGGCGGGAAGAUAGUAAUGGCGCACCAUGGGCAGGUGCGCCAUUAGUAACUUUUUUUUAUUUUUUGAUUUAUUUUGAAUUUUGAAGGCGGGAAGAUAGUAAUGGCGCACCAUGGGCAAGUGCGCCAUUAGUAAGUUUGAUUUUUUUUGAAAUUUUUUGCCUCUCCAGAUCUUAAAAGCCCCGUAUCUUUUUUUCUGUUAGGUUUUUGAGGAUUUUAAAAAUGUUUAACGGGGUUCCCCUGUUAAAUUCGGAUGUAACUUUUCGAGUAGAUGAUUUUUCAUAUAAAAAAAAUUCAUCCGAGUUCGUAUGCAAAAGUUAUGCCCAUUUUUACAAAUUCUUGAAAGAUUUUGCAAAAAAGUCGAAAAUUCAUGUUUGUAAAUUUUGCUAACAACUAGAUCACAUAUCACAUGGGAAUCUUAUUUUCUUUUAUUUUUUUGACAUUUCUAUCAUUUUCUUUUUUUUUUAAACUGAAAAGGCGGUCCAGGGGGGUUGCAUUCGGGGGAAUGUUUGGGACAAAUUACUAAUGGCGCACCGUGGGAAGGUGCGCCAUUACUAGUUUCAACUAGUAAUGCCGCACCACUCUCACAGUGCGCCAUUAGUAGUUUCGGAAAAAUUAAAAAAAAAUUACUAAUGGCGCACCGUGGGAUGUGGUGCGCCAUUAGUAUUUGCACACUAAUGGCGCACCAACACAUGGUGCGCCAUUAGUAUUUAGUAAUGGCGUACCACAUGUACAGUGCGCCAUUAGUGUCCAUCCCAUCUAUAGCUCUUUUCCUAGUUGUGUAUGUUCAAUGUACAAAAAACAAAAUUGCAUCAAGUAAAUGUAACAGAAGAGGAAAAUAAGAGAUAUAUGUAGAAACAGAAAUCGAACAUAUCCGGGCAAACACAACAUCUCGCCGCGCAGAUAAAUUCUAGACGUACUUCCGAGGUGAAGAAAGAAGGUGGAUUUAGAAGCAGGAGAGCAAAGACCCGGGGAUGGGGGCGAGAAACAGAGUUCUAAUGCCUUUGGGUCUACAUCCCCUCUGGAUAUGUGUCUUGGAGUGUCUGAUCUCAUGGCCGUGGGGCUCAUGGUGGCCAGAGACGCCCUGCAGCCUACUAUGGUGCAAUAACUAACUCAAAUGCCAUUGACAGCAUGGAGCUAUGCCAGGAGUGUGGCGGCCCUCUUGGACAUCAGCGCACGCGUAGGAUGCUGGUACAUAGCGGUGGGCGCCGCCAUCGAGAUCAAGGUCGGGGGAGACGGGAGGGGUGCCCCUAGGCGUGCUAAAUAAAGGAGCCUGGGAGCUUGCCGGGCGCCUCCAUUGGUGUUAGGCUGCUGUUAAUGCAUGGGUGCUUAGAUGAGGUGCUAAGCACAUUAAAUAGUUUAACAACUAUACUCCCCAAUGCAUAGGUGCUUAGCUUAUGGUUGCUAAGCUUGCUUCAUUUAAUGAUUUAGCAACUAAAGCUCUUCAUGUAUUGGUGGGCUUUUUUUCUUUAAAUGUUUUGCCUAGGUUCACGAGCUUAGCAUUGUCUCUUCCUGGGUCACCACACUCAUCUCCCUCCUCUUAAAUAACUUGCCACAUCAGAUUUUUUGCCUAUGUGAAAAGCUUAGCACCUGUACAAGGUGGAGCAUUGGGAGGGGCCUUAAUGCACUUUUAGCAAUGGUAACAUUACUCCUCGCUUGAAUACCGGUGGACGAUCUCCAAUCACCCAUUGUUGGGGAACGUAGCAGAAAUUCAAAAUUUUCCUACGUGUCACCAAGAUCUAUCUAUGGAGAAACUAGCAACGAGGGGAAGGAGAGUGCAUCUACAUACCCUUGUAGAUCGCUAAGCGGAAGCGUUCAAGAGAACGGGGUUGAAGGAGUCGUACUCGUCGUGAUCCAAAUCAUCGGAGAUCCUAGUGCCGAACGGAUGGCACCUCCGCGUUCAACACACGUACAGCCCGGUGACGUCUCCCAUGCCUUGAUCCAGCAAGGAGAGAGGGAAAGGUUGAGGAAGACUCCAUCCAGCAGCAGCACAACGGCGUGGUGGUGAUGGAGGAGCGUGGCAAUCCUGCACGGCUUCGCCAAGCACCACGGGAGAGGAGGAGUACUUGGGAGAGGGGGAGGGCUGCGCCAGAACUUGGGUGUGGCUGCCCUCCCACCCCCACAUAUAUAUAGGGGCAAGGGAGAGGGGGGCCGGCCCCCUCAGAUCCAAUCUUAGGAGGGGGCGGCGGCUAGGGGGGUUGCCUUGCCCCCCAAGGCAAGGGGGGCGCCCCCUUUUAGGGUUUCCCCCAAGCCCUAGGCGCCUUGGGCCUUGGUGGACGGCGCACCAGCCCACCUGGGGCUGGUCCCCUCCCACACUUGGCCCAUGCAGCCCUCUGGGGCCGGUGGCCCCACUUGGUGGACCCCCGGGACCCUCCCGGUGGUCCCGGUACAUUAUCGAUAGCACCCGGAACUUUUCCGGUGACCAAAACAGGACUUCCCAUAUAUAAAUCUUUACCUCCGGACCAUUACGGAACUCCUCGUGACGUCCGGGAUCUCAUCCGGGACUCCGAACUACAUUCGGUAACCACAUACAAACUUCCUUUAUAACCCUAGCGUCAUCGAACCUUAAGUGUGUAGACCCUACGGGUUCGGGAACCAUGCAGACAUGACCGAGACCUUCUCCGGUCAAUAACCAGCAGCGGGAUCUGGAUACCCAUGUUGGCUCCCACAUGUUCCACGAUGAUCUCAUCGGAUGAACCACGAUGUCAAGGACUCAAUCGAUCCCGUAUACAAUCCCUUUGUCUAGCGGUAUAGUACUUGCCCGAGAUUCGAUCGUCGGUAUACCGAUACCUUGUUCAAUCUCGUUACCGGCAAGUCUCUUUACUCGUUCCAUAACACAUCAUCCCGCGAUCAAAUCUUUGAUCACGUUGUGCACAUUAUGAUGAUGUCUUACCGAGUGGGCCCAGAGAUACCUCUCCGUCACACGGAGUGACAAAUCCCAGUCUCGAUUCGUGCCAACCCAACAGACACUUUCGGAGAUACCUGUAGUGCACCUUUAUAGUCACCCAGUUACGUUGUGACGUUUGUUACACCCAAAGAAUUCCUACGGUAUCCGGGAGUUGCACAAUCCCAUGAUCUAAGGAAAAGAUACUUGACAUUAGAAAAGCUUUAGCAUACGAACUACACGAUCUCUGUGCUAGGCUUAGGAUUGGGUCUUGUCCAUCACAUCAUUCUCCUUAUGAUGUGAUCCCGUCAUCAAUGAUAUCCAAUGUCAAUGGUCAGGAAACCGUAACCAUUUAUUGAUCAACGAGCUAGUCAACUAGAGGCUUACUAGGGACAUGGUGUUGUCUAUGUAUCCACACAUGUAUCUGAGUUUCUUAUCAAUACAAUUAUAGCAUGGAUAAUAAACGAUUAUCAUGAACAAGAAAAUAUAAUAAUAACUAAUUUAUUAUUGCCUCUAGGGCAUAUUUCCAACACCCACUAUGCCGCAUCGCUGCCCAUUAAUGUGUCGCUAUCUCAUCACAUUUCCCGCACGCUGCCCUUCCGAAAGCAUACACUCUUUCUUGCGAUAUUCGUUGUGCUAACUGAGCCGAUAUUAAACAACAGAUGAUGGCAAGCGAAUAUGUUACGACGAGCUUAAAUGGGCUUCUUGUGGGAGAAGGGUAUGAUUAACCAUAAACCACCGAUUUUGUUACAGGAGUAGCAGCCAAUGAGGCAUACAGUCCACUUAGUGCUAUUUAAAAGUAUCUUACGGCCAAAAAACGACCAUCACAAAAUGAUCCAAUGGUUAGGAAUGGUGGUGGCCUGAGAGGGCAGGAAAGAUGCUCAGGUAUAAUGUGUCUACAUGUGCUUCCCACGGUAUUGAGCACGAACAUUUGUUGUGCUUGGACCAGCGUCCCUUAAGGUGCACACUAUCCGAAUAGACUUUGUUGGUUGCCACCCCCAUAUCUCUGGGACAUAGAGUGGAUGUGACUCUCACGGUGAUUGGUAAUGCACCAACUAUUGUCAUACCCAUGAAGCAACCGUACCAAAACAGGGCACUCACACCUACAUGAACUGCUGUUUGCUGACUCUGGCUUCCCCUGCACACCGGAUAGCACAUGUCAUGGUCAGCGCAACUAAAUUAGUGAUGGGAGCCCCACACAUAAAAGGACAGAAGAGAAGAGAGUGACGUUUUGGCACAUGGGAGCAUGCGUUCCUGAUUUUUAAAAUUUAUUUUAAACAUCCUUUGAAAUGUCAAAAAAUUUCAAACAAAAACUUGGCGCGUACAUUUCGAUAUUAUACAUGCUCACAAAAUUGUUUCUCAAAAAACCGACAACUCACGUGUUGCGUGUGAAAAAGAAAAAAUCCGGUGUUAAAAAAUGCUUUUCACUAAACAUCCUUUUGUCUUUUUUACACAAGCCAGAAAAAAUGAUUGGUUUUCUCCGAAACUUGACAUGCACACAUAUAAUGUCGAGAUGUAUGCGCCAAAUUUUUCUUUGGAAUUUUUUCACACUUUGAAAUAUUUUUUCGUGUGCAGGAGCGCGUGCUCCCGGGAGCACCAACAGAUAUCCAUAGAAUAGAUAAGCAGAAGGCACUACACGCCAAGUAGCCACAAAUGAUUUCCUGCAUCUAUUUGGUCCUCUCAGCGUUCAAUCUAGUCUUACAAUACCUGAUCCCAAACCCAAUCUCCCACGAAUACAAGUUGUAGAUGUCCUGCGCCUCACCUAGCGAGUAGCGAGUUGAAUUCAGUCCCAGUUCUGGCUUGAUUACACUCUCCCUAGCCUCCUCUGCACAUUUCCGAAUCGACUGCUCCAAUGCCAUCAUCCUACAUGGACAAGGCCUUUUGUCCGAUGGAGAACUCCUGAGGUGUAACCUGAUUUUUUUAGGAACACAGUCGAUCGGAUAGAUGCAGGCUUACCUCUUUUAUCCAUCCUGGUCCUCCGGAUUGACCCUAUCAACGAACACCAGAAAUAAUAAAAAUUAUAUCUAUAUCCGUAGACCACAUAGCAAAGAUUACAAGCACUAAAGCGAGCCGAAUGCGCGCCGCUAUCAUUACCCCUCCCUCAACGGAGCUGGGCAAAACUUGUUGUAGUAGACAAUCGGGAAGUCGUCGUGCUAAGGUCUGAUAUGUCUCCGUCGUAUCUACUUUUCCAAAAACUUUUUUCCCUGUUUUGGACUCUAACUUGCAUGAUUUGAAUGGAACUAACCCGGAGUGACGUUGUUUUCAGCAGAACUGCCAUGGUGUUAUUUCUGUGCAGAAAUAAAAGUUCUCGGAAUGACCUCAAAAUCCACGGAGCAAAUUUUCAGAAUUAAUAAAAAAUACUAGUGAAAGAAUCAGCGUUAGGGGGCCCACACCCUAUCCACGAGGGUGGGGGCGCCCCCCUCCCCUAGGGUGCGCCCCCUACCUCAUGGGCCCCCUGGACGUCCACCGACCUCAACUCCAACUCCAUAUAUUUGCUUUCAUGGAGAAAAAAAUCAGAGAGAAAGUUUCAUCGCGUUUUACGAUACGGAGCCGCCGCCAAGCCCUAAUCUCUCUCGGGAGGGCUGAUCUGGAGUCCGUUCGGGGCUCCGGAGAGGGGGAUUCGUCGUUGUCAUCAUCAUCAACCAUCCUCCAUCACCAAUUUCAUGAUGCUCACCGCCAUGCGUGAGUAAUUCCAUCGUAGGCUUGCUGAACGGUGAUGGGUUGGAUGAGAUUUACCAUGUAAUCAAGUUAGUUUUGUUAGGGUUUGAUCCCUAGUGAAGGAAAUAUGCCCUAGAGGCAAUAAUAAAGUUAUUAUUUAUUUCCUCAUAUCAUGCUAAAUGUUUAUUAUUCAUGCUAGAAUUGUAUUCACCGGAAACAUGAUACAUGUGUGAAUACAUAGACAAACAUAGUGUCACUAGUAUGCCUCUACUUGACUAGCUCAUUAAUCAAAGAUGGUUAUGUUUCCUAACCAUAGACAUGUGUUGUCAUUUGAUUAAUGGGAUCACAUCAUUAGGAGAAUGUUGUGAUUGACUUGACCCAUUCCGUUAGCUUAGCACUUGAUCGUCUAGUAUGUUGCUAUUGCUUUCUUCAUGACUUAUACAAAGUUCCUACAACUAUGAGAUUGUGCAACUCCCGUUUACUGGAGGAACACUUUGUGUGCUACCAAACGUCACAGUAUAACUGGGUGAUUAUAAAGGUGCUCUACAGGUGUUUCCAAAGGUACAUGUUGAGUUGGCAUAAUUCGAGAUUAGGUUUUGUCACUCCGAUUGUCGGAGAGGUAUCUCUGGGCCCUCUCGAUAAUACUCAUCACUUAAGCCUUGCAAGCAUUGUAACUAAUGAGUUAGUUAUGAAAUGAUGUAUUACGGAACGAGUAAAGAGACUUGCCGGUAACGACAUUGAACUAGGUAUUGGAUACCGACGAUCGAAUCUCGGGCAAGUUACAUACCGAUGACAAAGGGAACAACGUAUGUUGUUAUGCAGUUUGACCGAUAAUGAUCUUCGUAGAAUAUGUAGGAACCAAUAUGAACAUGCAGGUUCCACUAUUGGUUAUUGACCGAGAAUAGUUCUAGGUCAUGUCUACAUAGUUCUCGAACCCGUAGGGUCCGCACGCUUAACGUUACGAUGACAGUUUUAUUAUGAGUUUAUAAGUUUUGAUGUACCGAAGUUUGUUUGGAGUCCCGGAUGUGAUCACGGACAUGACGAGGAGUCUCGAAAUGGUCGAGACAUAAAGAUUGAUAUAUUGGACGACUAUAUUCAGACACCGGAAGUGUUCCGGGUGAUUUCGGAGAAAACCGGAGUGNNNNNNNNNNNNNNNNNNNNNNNNNNNNNNNNNNNNNNNNNNNNNNNNNNNNNNNNNNNNNNNNNNNNNNNNNNNNNNNNNNNNNNNNNNNNNNNNNNNNNNNNNNNNNNNNNNNNNNNNNNNNNNNNNNNNNNNNNNNNNNNNNNNNNNNNNNNNNNNNNNNNNNNNNNNNNNNNNNNNNNNNNNNNNNNNNNNNNNNNNNNNNNNNNNNNNNNNNNNNNNNNNNNNNNNNNNNNNNNNNNNNNNNNNNNNNNNNNCCUUGGUGGGAAGAGAGUGGGGCGGCCAGGGUGGGCCGCGCGCCUCCUCUCCCUCUCGUCCGAAUUGGACUAGGAGGGGGGGCGGCGCCCCCCUUUCCUUUCCCCCUCUCCCCCUUCCUUCCCACUCCUAGUAGGAGUAGGAAAGGAGGAAUCCUACUCCUUCUAGGAAGAGGAUUCCUCCUCCUUGGCACGUCCCAAGGGGCCGGCCGGCCUCCCCUCUUGCUCCUUUAUAUACGGGGGCAGGGGGGCACCCUGGGACACACAAGUUGAUCUACGAAUCGUUCCUUAGCCGUGUGCAGUGCCCCCCUCCACCAUAUUCCACCUCGGUCAUAUCGUCGCAGAGUUUAGGCGAAGCCCUGCGCCGGUAGAACAUCAUCAUGGUCACCACGCCGUCGUGCUGACGGUACUCAUCCCUGACGCUUUGCUGGAUUGGAGCCCGGGGAAUGUCAUCUAGCUGAACGUGUGCUGAACACGGAGGUGCCGUACGUUCGGUGCUUGGAUCGGUCGAGUCGUGAAGACGUACGACUACAUCAACCGCGUUGUGAUAACGCUUCCGCUUACGGUCUACGAGGGUACGUGGACAACACUCUCCCCUCUCGUUGCUAUGCCAUCACCAUGAUCUUGCGUGUGCGUAGGAAAAUUUUGAAAUUACUACGUUCCCCAACAGUGGCAUCCGAGCCUAGGUUUUAUGCGUUUAUGUUAUAUGCAUGAGUAGAACACAAGUGAGUUGUGGGCGACACAAGUCAUACUGCUUACCAGCAUGUCAUACUUUGGUUCAACGGUAUUGUUGGAUGAAGCGGCCCGGACCGACAUUACGCGUAUGCUUACGCGAGACUGGUUCUACCGACGGGCUUUGCACACAGGUGGCUGGCGGGUGUCAGUUUCUCCAACUUUAGUUGAACCGAGUGUGGCUACGCCCGGUCCUUGCGAAGGUUAAAACAGCACUAACUUGACGAACUAUCAUUGUGGUUUUGAUGCGUAGGUAAGAACGGUUCUUGCUAAGCCCGUAGCAGCCACGUAAAACUUGCAACGACAAAGUAGAGGACGUCUAACUUGUUUUUGCAGGGCAUGUUGUGAUGUGAUAUGGUCAAGACGUGAUGCUCUAUUUAUUGUAUGAGAUGAUCAUGUUUUGUAACCGAAGUUAUCGGCAACUGGCAGGAGCCAUAUGGUUGUCGCUUUAUUGUAUGAAAUGCAAACGCCCUGUAAUUGCUUUACUUUAUCACUAAGCGGUAGCGAUAGUCGUAGAAGCAAUAGAUGGCGUAAACGACAACGAUGCUACGAUGGAGAUCAAGGUGUCGCGCCGGUGACGAUGGUGAUCACGACGGUGCUUCGGAGAUGGAGAUCACAAGCACAAGAUGAUGAUGGCCAUAUCAUAUCACUUAUAUUGAUUGCAUGUGAUGUUUAUCCUUUAUGCAUCUUAUCUUGCUUUGGUUGACGGUAGCAUUUUAAGAGGUGUUCUCUCUGAAUAUGCACCGUUGCCAAAGUUCCUCGUGCCCAGACACCACGUGAUGAUCGGGUAUGAUAAGCUCUACGUCCAUCUACAACGGGUGCAAGCCAGUUUUGCACACGCAGAAUAUUCAGGUUAUACUUGACGAGCCUAGCAUAUGCAGAUAUGGCCUCGGAACACAAAGACCGAAAGGUCGAGCGUGAAUCAUAUAGUAGAUAUGAUCAACAUAGUGAUGUUCACCAUUGAAAACUACUCCAUCUCACGUGAUGAUCGGUUAUGGUUUAGUUGAUUUGGAUCACGUAAUCACUUAGAUGACUAGAGAGAUAUCUAUCUAAGUGGGAGUUCUUAAGUAAUAUGAUUAAUUGAACUUAAAUUUAUCAUGAACUUAGUACCUGAUAGUAUUUUUAUUGUCUAUGUUUGUUGUAGAUAGAUGGCUCGUGCUGUUGUUCCAUUGAAUUUUAAUGCGUUCCUUGAGAAAGCAAAGUUGAAAGAUGAUGGUAGCAAUUACACGGACUGGGUCCAUAACUUGAGGAUUAUCCUCAUUGCUGCACAGAAGAAUUACGUCCUGGAAGCACCGCUGGGUGCCAGGCCUGCUGCAGGAGCAACACCAGAUGUUGUGAACGUCUGGCAGAGCAAAGCUGAUGACUACUCUAUAGUUCAGUGUGCCAUGCUUUACGGCUUAGAACCGGGUCUUCAACGACGUUUUGACUGUCAUGGAGCAUAUGAGAUGUUCCAGGUGUUGAAGUUAAUAUUUCAAGUAAAUGCCCGGAUUGAGAGAUAUGAAGUCUCCAAUAAGUUCUACAGCUGCAAGAUGGAGGAGAAUAGUUCUGUUAGUGAGCAUAUAGUCAAAAUGUCUGGGUAUAAUAAUCACUCGAUUCAACUGGGAGUUAAUCUUCCGGAUGAUAGCAUCAUUGACAGAAUUCUCCAAUCACUGCCACCAAGCUACAAGAGCUUCGUGAUGAACUAUAAUAUGCAAGGGAUGAACAAGACAAUUCCCGAGCUCUUCGCAAUGCUAAAGGCUGCGGAGGUAGAAAUCAAGAAGGAGCAUCAAGUGUUGAUGGUCAACAAGACCACUAGUUUCAAGAAAAAGGGCAAAGGGAAGAAGAAGGGGAACUUCAAGAAGAACAGCAAGCAAGUUGCUGCUCAAGAGAAGAAACCCAAGUCUGGACCUAAGCCUAAAACUGAGUGCUUCUACUGCAAGCAAACUGGUCACUGGAAGCGGAACUGCCCCAAGUAUUUGGCGGAUAAGAAGGAUGGCAAAGUGAACAAAGGUAUAUGUGAUAUACAUGUUAUUGAUGUGUACCUAACUAGAGCUCGUAGUAGCACCUGGGUAUUUUAUACUGGUUCUAUUGCUAAUAUUUGCAACUCGAAACAGGGACUACGGAAUAAGCGAGCACUGGCCAAGGACGAGGUGACGAUGCGCAUGGGAAACGGUUCCAAAGUCGAUGUGAUCGCGGUCGGCACGCUACCUCUACAUCUACCUUCGGGAUUGUCUUAGACCUGAAUAAUUGUUAUUUGGUGCCAAUGUUGAGCAUGAACAUUAUACCUGGAUCUUGUUUGAUGUGAGACGAUUAUUCAUUUAAAUCAGAGAAUAAUGGUUGUUCUAUUUAUAUGAGUAAUAUCUUUUAUGGUCAUGCACCCUUGAAGAGUGGUCUAUUUUUAUUGAAUCUCGAUAGUAGUGAUACACAUAUUCAUAAUGUCCAAGCCAAAAGAUGCAGAGUUGAUAAUGAUAGUGCAACUUAUUUGUGGCACUGCCGUUUAGGUCAUAUCGGUGUAAAGCGCAUGAAGAAACUCCAUACUGAUGGACUUUUGGAAUCACUUGGUACUUGCGAAUCGUGCCUCAUGGGCAAGAUGACUAAAACACCGUUCUCCGGUACUAUGGAGAGAGCAACAGAUUUGUUUGAAAUCAUACAUACAGAUGUAUGUGGACCGAUGAAUAUUGAAGCUCGUGGCGGAUAUCGUUAUUUUCUCAGCUUCACAGAUGAUUUGAGCAGAUAUGGGUAUAUCUACUUAAUGAAACACAAGUCUGAAACAUUUGAAAAGUUCAAAGAAUUUCAGAGUGAAGUGGAAAAUCAUCGUAACAAGAAAAUUAAGUUUCUACGAUCUGAUAGUGGAGGAGAAUAUUUGAGUUACGAGUUUGGUUUACAUUUGAAACAAUGCGGAAUAGUUUCGCAACUCACGCCACCCGGAACACCACAACGUAAUGGUGUGUCCGAACGUCGUAGUCGUACUUUACUAGAUAUGGUGCGAUCUAUGAUGUCUCUUACUGAUUUACCGCUAUCGUUUUGGGGUUAUGCUUUAGAGCUGGCUGCAUUCACAUUGAAUAGGGCACCAUCAAAAUCCGUUGAGACGACGCCUUAUGAACUAUGGUUUGGCAAGAAACCAAAGUUGUUGUUUCUUAAAGUUUGGGGCUGCGAUGCUUAUGUGAAGAAACUUCAACCAGAUAAGCUCGAACCCAAAUCGGAGAAAUGUGUCUUCAUAGGAUACCCAAAAGAGAGACUGUUGGGUACACCUUCUAUCACAGAUCCGAAGGCAAGACAUUCGUUGCUAAGAAUGGAUCCUUUCUAGAAAAAGAGUUUCUCUCGAAAAAAGUGAGUGGGAGGAAAGUAGAACUUGAUGAGAUAACCAUGUCUGCUCCCUCAUUGGAAAGUAGUUCAUCACAGAAAUCAGUUCUUGUGACAUCUACACCAAUUAGUGAGGAAGAUAAUGAUAUUGAUCAUGAAACUUCAGAUCAAGUUUCUACUGAACCUCGUAGGUCUACCAGAAUAAAAUCUGCACCAGGGUGAUACGGUAAUCCUAUUCUGGAAGUCAUGUUACUUGACCAUGAUGAACCUACGAACUAUGAGGAAGCGAUGAUGAGCCCAGAUUCCGCAAAAUGGCUAGAAGCCAUGAAAUCUGAGAUGGGAUCCAUGUAUGAAAACAAAGUAUGGACUUUGGUUGACUUGCCCGAUGAUCGGCAAGCAAUUGAGAAUAAAUGGAUCUUUAAGAAGAAGACUGACGCUGACGGUAAUGUAACUGUCUAUAAAGCUUGACUUGUUGCGAAAGGUUUUCGACAAGUUCAAGGGGUUGACUACGAUGAGACUUUCUCACCCAUAGUGAUGCUUAAGUCUGUCUGAAUCAUGUUAGCGAUUGCCGCAUUUUAUGAUUAUGAAAUUUGGCAGAUGGAUGUCAAAACUGCAUUUCUGAAUGGAUUUCUGGAAGAAGAGUUGUAUAUGAUGCAACCGGAACAUUUUGUCGAUCCUAAGGGAGCUAACAAAGUGUGCAAGCUCCAGCGAUCAAUCUAUGGUCUGGUGCAAGCCUCUCGGAGUUGGAAUAAAUGCUUUGAUAGUGUGAUCAAAGCAUAUGGUUUUAUACAGACUUUUGGAGAAGCCUGUAUUUACAAGAAAGUGAGUGGGAGCUCUGUAGCAUUUCUAAUAUUAUAUGUGGAUGACAUAUUGUUGAUUGGAAAUGAUAUAGAAUUUCUGAAUGGCAUAAAAGGAUACUUGAAUAAAAGUUUUUCAAUGAAAGACCUCGGUGAAGCUGCUUACAUAUUGGGCAUUAAGAUCUAUAGAGAUAGAUCAAGACGCUUGAUUGGACUUUCACAAUGCACGUACCUUGAUAAAGUGUUGAAAAAGUUCAAUAUGGAUCAGGCGAAGAAAGGGUUCUUGCCUGUAUUACAAGGUAUAAAGUUGAGUCAGACUCAAUGCCCGACCACUGCAGAAGAUAGAGAGAAAAUGAAAGGAGUUCCCUAUGCUUCAGCCAUAGGAUCUACCAUGUAUGCAAUGCUGUGUACCAGACCUGAUGUGUGCCUUGCUAUUAGUUUGGCAGGGAGGUACCAAAGUAAUCUAGGAGUGGGUCACUGGACAGCGGUCAAGAACAUCCUGAAAUACCUGAAAAGGACUAAGGAUAUGCUUCUCGUAUAUGGAGGUGACAAAGAGCUAGUCGUAAAUGGUUACGUCGAUGCAAGCUUUGACACUGAUCCGGACGAUUCUAAAUCGCAAACCGGAUACGUAUUUUUGUUAAACGGUGGAGAUGUAAGUUGGUGCAGUUCUAAACAAAGCGUCGUGGCGGGAUCUACAUGUGAAGCAGAGUACAUAACUGCUUCGGAAGCAGCAAAUGAAGGAGUCUGGAUGAAGGAGUUCAUUUCUGAUCUAGGUGUUAUACCUAGUGCAUCGGGACCAAUGAAGAUCUUCUGUGACAAUACUGGUGCAAUUGCCUUGGCAAAGGAAUCCAGAUUUCACAAGAGGACGAAGCACAUCAAGAGAAGCUUCAAUUCCAUUCGGGACCAAGUCCAAGUGGGAGACAUAGAGAUUUGCAAAAUACAUACGGAUCUGAAUGUUCCAGACCCAUUGAGUAAGCCUCUCUCACGAGCAAAACAUGAUCAGCACCAAGACUCCAUGGGUGUUAGAAUCAUUACUAUGUAAUCUAGAUUAUUGACUCUAGUGCAAGUGGGAGACUGAGGGAAAUAUGCCCUAGAGGCAAUAAUAAAGUUAUUAUUUAUUUCCUCAUAUCAUGAUAAAUGUUUAUUAUUCAUGCUAGAAUUGUAUUAACCGGAAACAUGAUACAUGUGUGAAUACAUAGACAAACAUAGUGUCACUAGUAUGCCUCUACUUGACUAGCUCAUUAAUCAAAGAUGGUUAUGUUUCCUAACCAUAGACAUGUGUUGUCAUUUGAUUAAUGGGAUCACAUCAUUAGGAGAAUGUUGUGAUUGACUUGACCCAUUCCGUUAGCUUAGCACUUGAUCGUUUAGUAUGUUGCUAUUGCUUUCUUCAUGACUUAUACAAAGUUCCUACAACUAUGAGAUUGUGCAACUCCCGUUUACCGGAGGAACACUUUGUGUGCUACCAAACGUCACAACGUAACUGGGUGAUUAUAAAGGUGCUCUACAGGUGUCUCCAAAGGUACAUGUUGAGUUGGCAUAAUUUGAGAUUAGGUUUUGUCACUCCGAAUGUCGGAGAGGUAUCUCUGGGCCCUCUCGGUAAUACUCAUCACUUAAGCCUUGCAAGCAUUGUAACUUAUUAGUUAUUUAUGAAAUGAUGUAUUACGGAACGAGUAAAGAGACUUGCCGGUAACGAGACUGAACUAGGUAUUGGAUACCGAUGAUCGAAUCUCGGGCAAGUAACAUAGCGAUGACAAAGGGAACAACGUAUGUUGUUAUGCGGUUUGACCGAUAAAGAUCUUCGUAGAAUAUGUAGGAACCAAUAUGAACAUCCAGGUUCCACUAUUGGUUAUUGACCGAGAAUAGUUCUAGGUCACGUCUAUAUAGUUCUCGAACACGUAGGGUCCGCACGCUUAACGUUAUGAUGAUAGUUUUAUUAUGAGUUUAUAAGUUUUGAUGUACCGAAGUUUGUUCGGAGUCCCGGAUGUGAUCACGGACAUGACGAGGAGUCUCAAAAUGGUCAAGACAUAAAGAUUGAUAUAUUGGACGACUAUAUUCGAACACCGGAAGUGUUCCGGGUGAUUUCGGAGAAAACCAGAGUGUCGGAGGGUUACCGGAACCCUCCCGGGAGAGUUAAUGGGCCACAUGGGCCUUGGUGGGAAGAGAGAGGGCGGACAGGGUGGGCCAUGCGCCCCCUCUCCCUCUAGUCCGAAUUGGACUAGGAGGGGGGGCGGCGCCCCCCUUUCCUUUCCCCCUCUCCCCCUUCCUUCCCCCUCCUAGUAGGAGUAGAAAAGGAGGAAUCCUACUCCUACUAGGAGGAGGAUUCCUCCUCCUUGGAGCGCCCCAAGGGGCCGGCCGGCCUCCCCCCCUUGCUCCUUAGGACACACAAGUUGAUCUACGGAUCGUUCCUUAGCCAUGUGCGGUGCCCCCCUCCACCAUAUUCCACCUCGGACAUAUCGUCGCGGAGUUUAGGCGAAGCCCUGCGCCGGUAGAACAUCAUCAUCGUCACCACAUCGUCGUGCUGACGAAACUCAUCCCCGGCGCUUUGCUGGAUUGGAGCCUGGGGAACGUCAUCGAGCUGAACGUGUGCUGAACACGGAGGUGCCGUACGUUCGGUGCUUGGAUCGGUCGAGUCGUGAAGACGUACGACUACAUCAACCGCGUUGUGAUAACGCUUCCGCUUACGGUCUACGAGGGUACGUGGACAAUACUCUCCCCUCUCGUUGCUAUGCCAUCACCAUGAUCUUGUGUGUGCGUAGGAAAAUUUUGAAAUUACUACGUUCCCCAACACCUAGUAUCCACUAUGUUCUGAGUUUGAUGUUGCUAUGACUUUGCUAUGCUCAAUGCUUGUCACUAGGACCCAAGUGCCAUGAUUUUAUAUAUGAACCUAUUAUGUUUUCAUGAAUAUAUGUGAGUUCUUGAUCCUAUCAUGCAAGUCUAUAGUCACCUAUUAUGUGUUAUGAUUCCACAACCCCGAAGUGACAAUAAUUGGGAUACUUCUCGGUGAUGACCGUAGUUUGAGGAGUUCAUGUAUUCACUAUGUGUUAAUGCUUUGGUCCGGUACUCUAUUAAAAGGAGGCCUUAAUAUCCCUUAGUUUCCAUUAGGACCCCGCUGCCGCGGGAGGGUAGGACAAAAGAUGGCAUGCAAGUUCUUUUCCAUAAGCACAUAUGACUAUAUUCAGAAUACAUGCCUACAUUACAAUGAUGAACUGGAGCUAGUUCUGUGUCACCCUAUGUUAUAACUAUUACAUGAGGAAUCGCAUCCGACAUAAUUAUCCAUCACUGAUCCAAUGCCUAUGAGCUUUUCACAUAUUGUGCUUUGCUUAUUUACAUUACCGUUGCCACUGUUACAAUUACUACAAAACUGCUACCGUUACUUUUGCUACCGUUACCGUUACUUCCAUACUACUUUGCUACUAAAUACUUUGCUGCAGAUACUAAGUUAUCCAGGUGUGGUUGAAUUGACAACUCAACUGCUUAAUACUUAAGAAUAUUCUUUGGCUCCCCUUGUGUCGAAUCAAUAAAUUUGGGUUGAAUACUCUACCCUCGAAAACUGUUGCGAUCCCCUAUACUUGUGGGUUAUUAAGACUAUUUUCUGGCACCGUUGCCUAGGAGCAUAGAUCUAUUCUUUGAAUCACUUGAGAUUUCUAUCUGCUGGUCACUAUGAGGAACUUCAAAGACGAAAGAACUAAGAUUUAUCCCUCAACUACGAGGGGAGAUAAGGAACUACCAUCUAGAUCUGCACUAGAUUCUCCUUCUGUUAUGAGUAAGCUUGCGACACCUAAACCUGCUUCUGCUAUUAAUUCUGAUAUUUCGCAUGUUAUUGAUGAUGCCACUUCUACUAUGCAUGAUACUUAUGAUGAAACUACUUUUGUGCUUGAUACUACUGUGCCAUUAGGUGAAUAUCUUGAUGCACAACUUGCUAGGGUUAGAGAGAAAGAAAUUCUUGAAACUGAUAUUAUUGAAGAUAGUGAUGAUGAAGGUUCUCCCCCUAAAUAUGAAUUGCCUGUUGUUCCUGAGGGUUAUGUUAUGGAUGAAGAAACUGUUAGAGAUUUUCUUGCUUGCAAUGAUAGAUCUGAUCUUAAGAAGUUAUUAGCUAAACUGAAACAGAAAACUCUGAAUGCUAGAAUGAAAUAUGACCGUGCUUUUUCUACUUCACCUAUCUUUAUUACUGAUAAGGAUUAAGAUUUCUCUGUUGAUCCUGAGAUAAUUACUUUGGUUGAAUCUGAUCCUUUCUAUGGCUAUGAAUUUGAAACUGUUGGGGCACAUCUUACUAAGUUAAAAGAUAUAGCCACCCUGUUCACUAAUGAUGAGAAAUCUCGCUACUACUAUAUUCUUAAGAUAUUUGCGUUCUCAUUAAAGGGUGAUGCUAAAACUUGGUUUAAUUAUUUUGAUCCUGGUUGUGUGGGUAGUCCCCGGGAUAUGAUUUAUUACUUCUCUGCUAAAUAUUUCCUUGCUCAUAAGAAACAAGCUGCCUUGAGGGAAAUAUAUAAUUUUGUGCAAAUUGAAGAAGAGAGUCUCCCACAAGCUUGGGGGAGGCUUCUCCGGUUGCUUAAUGCUUUGCCUGAUCAUCCUCUUAAGAAAAACGAAAUACUUGAUAUCUUUUACUAACUGAUGCUUCCAAGGACAACUUGGAUAGUUGUGCUGGUUGUGUUUUCAGGGAAAGAACAGUCGAUCAAGCUAAAUUGCUAUUGAAUAAUAUGUUGACUAAUGAAAAUAAUUGGACUCUUCCUGAGCCAAUUCUUGAGCCAACUCCUAAACCUACUCCGAAGAAGAGGGGUGUUCUAUUUCUUAGUCCCGAAGAUAUGCAAGAGGGAAAGAAAUCUAUGAAAGAAAAAGGUAUUAAAGCUAAAGGUGUUAAGAAUUUACCUCCUGUUGAAGAAAUACAUGGUCUUAAUUUACCACCUAUUGAAGAAACACAUGGUCUUGAUAACCCGACACAGGUAGUAAAGGUAAAUUCUCUCUAUAGAUAUGAUAAGGUUGAAAUCCCGUCUACUAAGUUUGCUAGCCAAUGCUUGGAUGAAUUUGAUGACUUUAUGGCUAGACAAGAAAAUUUCAAUGCUUAUGUUGGUAGAGAAUUAAAGAGUAAUUCUUAUAUGAUUGGACGCUUGAGUGAUUAUAUGGCUAGAGUUAAAGGUGAACUUAAACUCAUUAGUAAAUAUGCUUCUAUGGUUACCACUCAAGCAGAAUAAGUACUUAAAGCUCAAAGUCAUUUGCUCGAUGAAUUAAAUAAUAAACAUGAUUUUGUAUUUAUAGUGGCUACUAGAACGGGUAGAAUGACUCAGGAACCUUUGUAUCCUGAAGGCCACCCUAAGAGAAUUGAGCAAGAUUCUCAGAGAAAUAAUGUAGAUGCACCUAGUCCUUCUAAAAAGAAGAAAAAGAAAAAUGAUAGGACUUUGCAUGCUUCUAGUGAACCCGUUGUAGACACACCUGAGAAUCCCAAUGAUACUUCUAUUUCUGAUGUUGAAACACAAUCUGGUGAUGAACAUGAACCUAGUGAUAAUGUUAAUGAUAAUGUUCAUGUUGAUGCUCAACCUAGAAAUAAUAAUGAUGUAGAGAUUGAACCUGCUGUUGAUCUUGAUAACCCACAAUCAAAGAAUCAACGUUAUGAUAAGAGUGAUUUUGUUGCUAGGAAGCACGGUAAAGAAAGAGAACCAUGGGUUCAGAAACCCAUGCCUUUUCCUCCUAAGCCAUCUAAGAAAAAGGAUGAUGAGGAUUUUGAGCACUUUGCUGAAAUGAUUAGACCUAACUUCUUACGUAUGCGCUUAACUGAUAUGCUUAAAGUGAAUCCUUAUGCUAAAUACAUGAAGGAUAUUAUUACAAAUAAAAGAAAGAUACCGGAAGCUGAAAUUUCCACCAUGCUUUCUAAUUAUACUUUUAAAGAUGGAAUACCUAAGGAACUAGGAGAUCCAGGAGUACCAACUAUACCAUGCUCCAUUAAAAGAAACUAUGUUAAAACUGCUUUAUGUGAUCUUGGAGCCGGUGUUAGUGUUAUGCCUCCCUCUUUAUAUCGUAGACUUGAAUUGAAUAAGUUGAGACCUACUGAAAUAUCUUCGCAAAUGGCCGAUAAAUCAACUGCUAUACCUGUCGGUAUUUGUGAGGAUGUGCCUGUUGUGGUUGCAAACAUCACUAUCUUAACGAACUUUGUGAUUCCUGAUAUUCCUGAGGACAAUAGCAUGUAUAUUAUCCUUGGUAGACCCUUUUUGAAUACUGUAGGGGUUGUUAUUGAUUGCAACAAAGGCAAUGUCACUUUUCAUAUUAAUGGUAAUGAGCAUACGGUACACUUUCCGAGGAAACAACCUCAAGUUCAUAGCAUCAAUUCUAUUAGAAAAAUUCCAACUAUUAUUAUUGGAGGUUUUGAAUUUCCUCUUCCUACUGUCAAGAAGAAAUAUGAUAUUCUUAUUUUUGGGGAUGUGCAUAUCCCCAUUAAGGUAACCUGGUGUCAUUCGAAAUUUCUCCGGUUCCAUGUUAUUCGGAAUGAGUUUGUUAACAAGACUUGAUCAACCUUGUUAGUGGAUUCCUUUUGAUGAGCAUGAGAUGGAUGAAGUUAGAAAGCACAACCUCCUGUACCCUCCUUUUACUUUCUGUUAUUUAGAUUAAAUAAAGUAAAAAUAGUAUUUUCUGUCUGUUUUCUGGAUUAUCCAUGCAAUAAACAAUACCCCGAAAAUAAAAUUUCUCCAAAUGCCCUACAAAUUUAGUAUGAUUUUUCUGGAAAAUUUGAGAAUAUUUGGCACUGAGAACACAACAGGGGGAGCUGGCACCUGGCCACGAGGGUCCAGGGCGCGCCCACCCCUAUAGGGCACACCCCCUGCCUCGUGGGCCCAUGGUGGCCCCCUCCACUUAUUCCCGCACCCACACACUUCUUCUUCCUCCCAAAAAAAUCACCAUCUAGCUCAAGCACGAGUUCUAGCUCAUUUUGCUGCAGUUUUUGAUCUCCUUGCUCAAAGUUCCAUUCACAAAACUGCUUUGGGAGAUUGUUCCUUGGUAUGUGACUCCUCCAAUGGUCCAAUUAGUUUUUGUUCUAGUGCUUUAUUCAUUGUGGCACCCCGGCUCAGAGAAACCGGAACGCCCCGUAUUCCAGCCCAAAGAUCAAGGAGAAGUCUUCUAGAAUACGGCACUGCUUAGCAUAGAACAAACCAGCUUUCUACUAUUACACAAAUAUGAAUACAAGGUCUCCGAUAUUACAAUGAAUAACAUCGAUACGGCGACACUAUGCCAUCCUCGGUUACUCUAUGCAAGCAGCAGAACAACUCGAAGUAGCGGAAGAACUCUAGCAGCGGACCAAUGACGAUGGUGGUGAACUCCACUCCGCAGGGACUCUGGCUAGAACGCUUAUCCUAACUCCGUCGUGGCCCGUCCCACUCUAGGACAAGGAUCCGAAAACUAACUCAACAAUGGGCACACAAGGCUUAUGUCCGCCUACCUAAUCGGGGUAGCGCGCGCCCAUAACCUUCCCUCGUUGGAGGCACCGGCGAGAGGCACAACAAUAGACCCAGUUAGGACCGACCCAUACCGGUAAGCGUGGUUGCACUGGUCAGCAUCGAUUCAGCGGCACCAUGACUCAGCCAACAGUUGUUCAAGUUCAAUUUAAUCCGGUUAACUUGAAUGCAAAUAUGCUGAGUCAUGAUAAAAUGCAUGAACAUGAUAUCAACAUCAUCAUGAGUGUAUCACAUAACUUUCCACCAUAUCAACAAUAAAUCAUAUCCACUGAGCAUGGCAUACUGACUAGCACGACCAUCACCAACAUCAACAUGUACUACUAGCAAUCAUAAAUAUAUGAAAGUUAAUACUAGCAGGUAGAACAUGAUAACAGAGUACAAGACAUCAUAGCACAAAGGUUAACAUGCAACUCUAAACAUCACCGGAACAACGAUAACCAUCUUGUCAACAAGCAAAUAUUUAAUAAAGAUUCAAGUUGAAAACCAUGGCUACUGCACGACUAUCAUGCAAGUGGGUAUUGUGGCUUGCCUGGGGAUGAAGAAGGCACCGGGGAGAAGUGCGGUGAAGCCGCGAAACGAAUUGCUGGAAAAUGUUGUCUCUCGGAGGGGGCUGACUAAGGGCAAGGGCAAAAUGUUCAUUUUCAGUAUGCCAAAACAUAAUGAAAGUUAGACCAACAGAAAGGGCUCGACGAAACAAAGAAGUGAGCAUUGGAUUCACCUCGUUUGGAGUUACGGAUAAAAAGAUAUAAGGGUUUUACUGUGAGGGACCUAUCUGUAAACAUUUAUUUUACAGAUUGGGCCAAAACAAAAAAACGGAAAGCGCAUGCCAAGAUUUACGUUUCCACUUAUCCAGCGUGACAGUGGCGGGGCCGGCUCCUGUGUGGCCGACAGGCGGGUCCCACCUUAUCCACUCCCUCUCUCUCCCCCCUUCUCUUCUUCCUCUCUCCUUCUCCCGACGCCGCACGCAGAGCAGAGGAGAGGCCGCCGGCGCCGACGCUCGCUCCGGCCACUCGGGCCACCUCCGACGGAGCUUGGACCGCCGGAGUGCUCAGGACGGCGAGGCGCACCCGUCCCACCACCACACGAACAUCGGGGAGACUCGGGCAGGGCGGGACCAUGGCCACGGCGAACGGGGCUUCGGCCGAUGAUAGAGGACAAGGCCAUGGCAAUUCCGGCGACUAACGGAGGGCUGCAGAGAGGCUAUGAUGGCUGGCUGACCUACUAGAGGUGGAAGAUACAGGAGAGGGGCUUCGGUUCGGCGGAAUCGGACUGGACAGGGGCGGCGGCCAUGGCGGCAAGGGCGGGCUCAGGAGCUCUUGGAGUUCGAACGAGUGGACGGGGAGGUUGCUGGGAGUGAGGCGAGUCUCGGGGUGAGCUCAGACAAGGCCGGGGAUGGCUUAAAUAGCCGCGGGGCAAGGUGGCCGACCUGGCACCACCGCGGACGCGUGGCCGGCGCCACGGACGCGUGCCCGCGCGCAUGAACUCAGGGGAAAACGACGGAGGAGGAGGAGUGGGGGCUCUCAUGGGGCAGAGGAUGCCAAUGGGGCGCAGGGAGGAAGACUACGGUCACGGGAAGAUCCAAAACCCCACUGUGCUCUCGUGUUCACGCGGCGGCGAGCGUCGAUGAGCAAGCAGACGGAGGGGGAGAGGGGUCCAGGGGAACGACGAUGAGGAGAGGAAGACAAUGGACAGGCUCACGAGCGCGAAAACGGCAAGAGGGGGAGGGGCGCGAGCAAGAAGACGCUCUGGGCGUGGCCAUUGCACGCCAAAACGGUGGUCACCAUGUGAACCGGUGCACACAGUGCCACAAGUGAUGCCAAACCAUGUCUGGGGGUUAGUCCCUCAUGGGUAAGUUGUAACUACGGGGGUAACUAAGUGAAAACGUCUCUGGUUAAAUACUUAGUGAGCUCUGAAGUUUACUGCAGUAAACUUUACCAGCUCAAUAUGAUCAACAGGGAGUUACCUGAAGCCACGGAAUUUGUCUGGGGUGUAUAGCUAUGGAGGGACUAUGAUCCUGGAGGUUUUGAGGGGAAAUGGAACAAGAUAAAUCGUAUUUGCUUUGCAACUGCCAAAAUGGUCCAGAAAUGAAGAUUAGGAUGGUGCACUCACAUGGAGUGUCCACUUGAGCUCAAAUUGGGCAAGGCUUAGUCAUUUGGUCAUAUGAAGAUGCUCACAAAGUAUCAUACCAUUUGGCAAAGCCAAAAUGGUACUUGCUUCACAAACAUCUCUACUGACCAGAAACUUGAAAUAAUUAUGGUGAUCAAAUGGAUCAAUGAAAUGAUGCCAAAUUGGGUGGAGAGAUGUUUUAUGGGUAUAAGAAGGAUCUGGUAAUUUAUCAGGAUUUUUGAAGCAAUAUAAAAUACACUUCCUUCACAACCUGGAAAUAUUGCUAGAAACAAAGAUUUGCUCCUAUGCUCACAUAGAUAAUUGGAUGGGGCUGCAUAUGGGUGGAAGGGGUUAGUAUGAGCACUUUAAGGAGUGUGCAAAAUUUUAACUCAUUUUGAGACUCCUUGCUAGUACUUCCUGCAUAAAGCCUUCCGUUUGACAGAAACUUUGAAAAAUCACUGAGGAAGAUUGGCUAGGCAAAUAAAUUUAAACUUGUGCAUGGGGCAAUUAUUUGGACAUGUAAACAUGCCCAAAAAGGUUGGGAUUCAAUAGGAGAAAUAUAAAUGACACUUCCUUCACAAAGUGCCAUGCAGGGCAAAAUAGAAAAAGGAAUUUUUGGGGAAUUAUUUAAUGGAAAUAAAAAGUUUUGCCAUAUUUGAGCAAGAUAUGACCCAAACAAUUUAUGAGAAUUAUUUGGGAAUUUUUGGAGUAAUGGAAACAGAGGUUGCUUCACAACCUAGGGCAAUUUGAGUUAUUCUUUAAUUGAAAAGGAAUAUUCCCAAUAAAAAGAAUAUUAAGAUUUGGGCUAGGAUGGAAAUGACAGGGUCUAGCGAAAGAUUUGGGGAUGACAAGCCACUCUGCAAGCAAAGAAGAGGUCAUCUCGUUCAGUUUCCAGACCACAAAGCCACGGAAAAAGAAAACUCAGGCAAAAACCUCAGAAAAACAAAAGAAAAAGAAAGGGCCAAAAAUCAGGCUGUCACAAACCUUACCCCCUUAAAGAAAUCUCGUCCUCGAGAUUUGGUUGCUCAGGGAACAAGUAUGAAUAUUCUGACUUGAGGAAACCGUUUCCAACUCGGGUAUCCUUUUUUCCUUUAUUGGUGUUCCCAUUAAAUUUUUAUCUGACUGGCCCUGGGGUGGUUUGAUUUGCUUUAUCCACAUUCUGACAGAUCUUACCUUGCUUGCUCAUGCUUAUAUAGGCUCCAAUUUCUUUUUAGAUCUGCUGACUAGCUGAGUGUGAUUUAAUUAUCACGACUGAAAUAUAUGUCCGUCUCACAAAUCCAAAAGUGAUUUCCGCUGGGUGUGCCACCUGGCACUGACAACCUUUCAUGUAAUGAUGAUUUCUGAUGAAAACUCAAGCUCUGACUCAUUGCAUUGGGUUUCUCCACUAAAUGCAGGUCCUUUGGGUUCCAAACAGUGAGUUAAAACAUAACCAUUUCCUGACAGAUUCUGACGCAUCGCAGGAGUUUCUGAAUCAUCUUACCGGUUCCACUGUCGUGAGUAUCGGAUCCGUACCAAAUAUUUGAUUGUCUCCUGUCGCGGCCAGCAUAAAGGGUUUGGCCUGUAUUAUAAUAUCUGCAGAGUUGACUGAUGGUGGUUCUGACGGAAAACUUUUGUUCAUGACAGGCUGUCCAUGAUGAUUCAUAUUAGUGAGGACUCAGGCUUCCAGACUGUUAUCCUCAUGCUGAUUAUUCAUGCUGUAGGCAUAUCCAUGUGGAUCAAUUACUGACUUAGACUGUCCGGGGAAUCUGCACCAUGGGGGUCAUGUACGAUUUUCAUACCUGCCUCACUGGUCUUGCUCCUUCAUUAUUGUUUUCUUGGUCUGGAUCUUUGGCUAAAAGAGCUGGGCCAUAUUGUUUCUUUGUAUGACCAUAGAUACUGUUGGUGCAAUUUUCUCAGCAAUCGUAGCUUAUUCUCAUUUUUCUAACAGGGUAACCCAUUAAAUGGCAGGUUCAACACCUCUCAAGUUCUGAUUGUUGGGAAAUGAUCAUCCAAAAUCCUUGCAAGAACUCUGCAAAUAAAUCAGUAGCCACCAGAAUGGUCUUUAUAACUCAGAUCUGGGACAUUACUGAAAUAACUCAACCACGGCUCAAGACGGCCGAAAAACAGCUCAGGGCAUGAGACCGGGUCGAUAAGAAGAAGGUGGCAGCUCCCUAAAAUAGCCAAAAGCAGCUAUAGGGCUACUGUCACAAAAAGAAACUCAACAGCUGUACGAGACAGCCGAAAAGUAGCUCAGACUCGUGAUAGUUGUUGAAGAGAGAAACAAAAAUCGGCAUCCACCCCGGAUAGCUAGAAACAUCUUAGGUCACAGGCGUGGUGCCGUCAUUGGAGAAAAGGGGACAAGGGCCCAUCAGGAUCAUUUUCCAGGUUCACGGGUACUUGUAUUGAGCUCAUUGAUGUCGUCAAUCCUCAUAAUCCUUUGUCACACUGUGGUGUAUACUGGCUUUCUUCUAUUAACCAUUCUCACGUGGUUGUUGGAUCCUCAUCCGAGUGACUUGUAAAAUCUUGAUGGUAUUCUCAUUGCAUAUAUAUGAGAAUCUGAUUCCCGAGAUAGAUGUGUAUUCUGACUGAUUCUUGAGAUUCACUGCCAUAUGUUGGCAAUUCACAGUGUACUACCUUGUACCAAUGUCUUACUGAGGGAUAUUAGCUGGCUUGUGCUCGAAGCUUUCAUCGGAUAGCUUGCUGAAGAAGACUGGGUAUCGUGCUUCAGAAACUUACCCCCUUGAAGACUUUGCUGGGGAAAGACUCUGUACCUUAUGCUGGAAGCUUUUGAAGUUGCUUACUGAAGAAGACAGGGUACCUUGCACGGGAAGUCGUCCAUGUAUCGUACUGAGGAAGAUAGAUGAAUCUUGCCUUGGAAGCUUCUCUGGUAUUUUGCGAUUGAAGAUUGGGCUGCUUACACUAGAAGCUUCUUAUUGUGAUAUGCAGACCAAUUUCCACAUAUAUAACAAUCUGAAUAUUUUUUCUAUUGAUUUCUUGCAUGAAAUGGGGUUUUGCAGGACUAUCCUCCUUUCUGAGUAUAUGCCAUAUUUUUGCCUGCUUCCACAUACAUCGAGUUCCAAAAUCAUCCUCAACGAAAAAUUAAACUUGUAUCUGAGCCAUACCCUUGAUAAUAUUCUGUCAAGCUUGCACACAAUUUAUCUUCUUGCUAAUUUAAUCAUUUUGUUGUGAUGAGUGCACGUAAUGCAAACUUGAUACUGAUGGUCCAUCCAGGAUUUCUUUUGCAUCCAGACAAGAUAUUCCCAAUUUCACUGCGGUCAGCUGAUAAUUCCAUUCUGUUUAGCUGAAUUUCCAAAUAUAUGCAUUUCUUGCUGACUCUUCUUGUCUGGUGUCGGCUGACGAGCAACUUUAAUAGGGGGAAAUUUGUAACACCGAAGGCCCAAAGAAAGGAACAACAGAAACGACUAAAACAAAAGCACACAAGCAUACUACUAAUAUAAUUAAUCAAGAAAUCAUCACAUAUUACUGCUACUCACACAAUAAUAUGCAUGCACACCUAAUCACACAAAUCUCACGGAAACUCCGGUAUUAAGGUCUAGCAUGUUGUGAUGAUGUGCAUGAGGACGAAUAAAUGUGUGGAAGAAUUGGUGUAAACACACUACACCACGCACUAGACUUCCCUAUCGGUGUGUGUUGGGAAAACUCAUUUAUACUGACACACAGUCGGUCGGAAAAACUUGUAUCAGUCAGUAGGUCGGGAAUACACACUUGUAGCGUCUAGCAGUCUGUCGGGAAUGCUGGUAUAUUUCACGUCUGAUGGUCGGUCGGGAAUAGAAAGACUUCCAUCGAACUAGCAGUCGGCAAUUUUUCCCGACCAACUGUUGGUGGCUAAUUGGGCCGAUCAGUCGCGCACGCGGGAACGUGAAACAGUUGGCGCCGAAAUGAGCGCUCCCCAUGAAAAACCCUAUCUCCCCUUUUCCCCUUCACCCCCCAAAUCCCUCAGAUCUGGCACACAGUUUCUGCAUCCGCCGCCGCCCCCGCUCGAGUUCUCCCUCCGCCGCACAUGCUGCUCCCCACGCCGGCCAUGUGCUCUCCAGCCGGCAGGGCCGUCGCAUCCUCUCUCCCUCCCGUCCGCCGCUGACCCCACUCCACACUGCCGCUGGUGGUACCCCGUACACCAUACUGCCGCCGCCUCCACCGGUAGGUGCUUUCUCUGUCCUCCCCCCCUCCUCCGUCUACAGGUGCUCUCUCCUCCUGUCCGUGCGCCCUUCCCUUCACCGUCGCUCACUGUGCUGCCCUACACGCACAGGUGGUCUUGCUGUCGCCGUCCAAACCCUGCCGGGAGCUUCCCUUUUCGUCCGCGCCCAAGCUCACCAUCUCCUGGAGGUGCUGCCGGCCAAGAAGGUAUGCUCCAAGAUGCCUCUUCCAGAUCCAACUACGACAGUGGGUUGGUUUUAGUCCUUCUAAUGCAAGGUCUUUAUCCACCUCGUGUGUUAUCUAUUUCCCAGCAAUACAACGAUUUCUCUUCGGAAGAAUUGUUUUUCCCCUCCACAUGUUCCUGCUUAUGUUAUGUGUGGAUUUUGAAAUCUAAUUUACACGUACUAUGUGCUUUGAGAAGAAAACAAUGUAGUUUUUUUGCAUGAGCACACCUUCUGCAUAGUGGUCAAUUUGGUUGACCUUCGUUAUCAAAAGAAAUUUGCUUAGUGUAUUGUCAUCAUAAGUAACUAGCAUACUGCUUAAAUUUGGAACAUAGAACUUAGCUAUAAAUCUUAACUAUGAUGAUACUUUGUGGAGAAUGGCACAUUUAGAUUGAUUUUAAUGAUAUAUUUAUUGCUCUGAACCUUGGGUUAUCACCAUAGUUUAGACUCUUGAGUGUUGUUCUGGCUUUGAAAAGUGGGAUCCGAGAGAAUAUAUGAAAAUGCUAAUGAUGUCCUGUGACAAGUUGAGAUCAUGCACAAGAACAAUAAUUAUCUGUGUAGCAGUAAUACAUUAUAAGGCAAACCAAAACUUGAGAUUCUGGUUCAGUUUCAGCUCUUGCCUCCGCCCAUAAAUUAAGAUACCAAUUUAGCGUGGCACCUUUAGUUCCUAGUUGUCAUGAUAACAAUACUGUACCUGACUUGCAUAAUCUCUUGCUAUUCCUUGAUGAGCAGCAACUUAUUUUGAACUUGUAUAUUUUAGAAUUUGCCUUUUCCUGUUAUUUUGUGUGUGGACAAUGUAUGACACCACAUGUAUAACAUUGUUGGUGAACAUUUAAAGCAGUGCCUGGCAAAAGAAGGGGGCCAAACCUACUAACCUGCGGGAUCCGAACGACAUGUGGAUUUCCAAAAGGUUUUUUCUUAUACUGUUAGACACUAUUUGAUAAUGAUAUAAUGAAUUCUUGCUAGACUUAAUUGUUUCCUAUGAAGUUCAAUUCCUGGAACACCUAUUUUGUUUCCUAUGAUCCACAUGCGAGGCAUAGAAAGGGUUUGAUUUUGAUUUUAGUUUCAGUUUCAGAGUUCUAUUCACAUUUUGAAUUUUCUAGUUUUUUUUGUGUGUGGACAGUGUGUGAGGCAUUUAAAUUCACUAUUAAUCAUGUGUGCAGGUGCAACUAGCAUGGACAAAUAUUGGAUGGAUACACCUAGGUACAACACCCCAUAUGUUAAACAUCUUAGAUUAGAUGUUAGUACUUGCUGAAAUCUGAUGCAACGCGCUGCAUAUGUACACUUGCAUGUAGGCAUACGGAGAAGUACUACAAGGGCUUGCCAGAUUCUUACAAUGCAUUUAGUAAAUGUUCAGUUGAGAAUCAGGGAUUCAAUAUUCUAUAUUAUUCUUCUAAGGGUUUUUAGCAUACAAAAGUAUGCAUGGUUGUGCAGACUUUUAGCUUUAUUUUUAACAAGCUAUAGUUAAGUAAAGCAUCUGCUGUUAACGACCUGAUAUUUUUUAGUUGUACAAGUUGUUGCCAUCAAGUUGAAUGACAAAGUGAAACAUAACCUUUAACUUUGUCGUUUGUUUUGAUGUCCUAGUGCAGUGAUACAGCAAACAAUGUAGAAUGCCCUCACUUACUACUGACUAGCAUAUGGAACUAUGUGCUAGUCCAAUAAACACAUCUCCAGUUUCCUAUUAUUUCUUUGUUACAUAGGAAAUACAUGCAGCACUUCGUAAAUGGUUCCUUGUCCCUGUUUUUUUAUUGUGCACAGAGCUUGUAACUUUUCGGUGGGCCACUAUUAGAGGCCUGACCUAUAGAAAUUCACCGUGGUAAAUACCGCCAACCUCGCAGCCUGCUCCUCAUGUAGAUGUAAUUGUGUUGUCUUCAUACUUCACAGGUUUUAUGCUAGCCGUGGAAUAUUUUUCGCCACGUACGUUAUUCACCUAGGUAACUCCGCUGCUCUGUUACCACGAGCAGCUCCAUGCCUCAGUGAGGCCGGUCCCUAUUUUUUAGGACUAGGUGUGCUACUAUUCCUAUUUCCUACUGAUUUGUCCACUUUCUCUCUGUCCUACUACUCUCUUUUCAUUAAUCCCCCGAAUCUCUAAUCUUUGUUUGUGCAGAUUCUCUCUUACCUAUGAAUACAAGGUCGAUGAAAAUCCAAGCAAGUUGCAAGGAAGAUUGAUCUAUGUAAUAAUGCAAUAUGCAAGUUCUGUUGUCUCUGCUUAAUAACUUCUUUUUGUGAAAUUUAGUUGCAUUGAAUGAUUAAUUCCUCUCAUGCCAAUGUGGCAAUGUCUCUCGUCUGAAUUCUCAAUUGUCUUUGCCAGUUACAUAGUGGCUUACAUGCCACCUGGAUACUGGAGUAGCAUAGUAUCUGGGAAUAUGAUUUUAUUCUUUAGUCAUUUGUAUGCCACAUCUGGUAUCGUUGGUCCUUUCUGAAGGCCAAUAUGAAAGGGCAACUUAUAUAUGUCAAAUCGCAUGGGUAUUUUAGUUGGUACUUUCAGGUUUUGAUAUUACUCUAUCACUAGAAUUUCCUUUCGAACAUUGCAAUUAGCUUUUAUCAAAGCAUGGUAAGUAUUGAGAAAUUUGUUCAUCAUACCUCCCAGGUAAACUGGAAGUAUUGUAGUAGUAGUCAAGCAGGAACCAAUUCCAAUUGUAUCCUGGGGAUUUUCUACCUUAUUCUAGCUCCAGUGAAUAAUGUUUGCUGUGGCAGAUAAAGAAUAAUGUUUGCACUUACCUCACCCUGUCCUAAAUUGGUUUGCUUACAAAUGUUGCACAUGUCUUAUGUUUCCAUAGUUAGUUUAUUAUUGGAAAUUGGUGAUGAUCAGGUAAGGAAAGAAAUCUUCAAGUCUCAGGUUUUUCUAUAACCAUUCCCCCAUGGUGGUAAGCUCUCCCAGCAAAUCAUGAUGUGACUCGGAUCAGGUGUGCAUUUUUUCCUUUUUGUACUGUAAAAAAACUUUCCACUAAGCACACUAAAGUGUAGCACUCAAUAAACAAACUUCAUGAUAUUCUAUUCGAAUAAAGUAAUCUAUGAUGUUCUUGAAGUUUUGUCACGAGUGCCUUAUAUAAGUGCACCAUGGCCAUAAGUACGAGUAGCAUGCAUAUGUGCAUUGAGUAAUCCAACGUGAGGAAUAAGAGAGAUAAAAGCGGGUCCACAAUGAAAAGCGGUGUGGCAAGGCUUGCAUCUACUUCUAGUGGUUACCUAUACUUGAAUGGAGUGCCUUCUUGAGUAGGUGUUUUGGUACUAGCUUGCCUUGUGAAGUAAUAGCUGUUGUCAAUGCUAUGCUUUAUCCCAGUUUUUAUGGUACAUUGUAUUUAUGAAUGUAAGAAUGUAAUGGCAACUUCUUUACAUUUUGCAGGGAAGAAAUGCAAGCGGAGGAGGAACCAUGAAGCCGGCGGUUCAGGAUAUUUUGUGUAGUGGUGAUUGAAUCAUUGGUGAUGAAUUUUAUCUAUCAUUUUGUAAACCCACAUUAUGUUUGAGGCAAUGAACCUUAAUGUUUCCUCUAGUUAAUUAGCUAUAUUAGCUUAUGGGAAAUUUUGGAAGUCAUUAUGUUGAUAACAGAUGAAGUAUUUACAUGUGAAAUUAAUUAAUAUGUGUUUCUAUUGUCUGGUUAUGGUUUAUUAUUGCUGGAGGACAUGCACAUUAUUGUUAUGAAAUGUCUUGAUUGAUAUUUUCUUGGUAGUGCAAAUGUAAGCUAUGGUAGGGCUACUGGAUGUUGGUUGGAAAAAAACCAUGUCUGAAAGUCGUUUGGGGAAGCUAAUGCCAGGGCCAACGAAAAGUUGGACAGGAAAACAAACCCCAUCAGAUAGUCGGUCGGGAAAAGCACAUGGCAUGCCCUAUAGACUGUUGGUCGGGAAUACAACCCCAUCAGAUAGUCGGUCGGAAAGGCCCAUGGUAGGCCCAACAGACCGUCGGUCGGGAAAGGCCCAUGGUAGGCCCAACAGACUGUCGGUCGGGAAAGUUACGCCAUAGGUGACAAACAGUCGGUCGGGAAAGAUAUGUCGGUCGGGAAAGGCUUUUCCCGUCUAGACUUUCCCCAACAGACACAGUCGGUCGGCAAUAGUCUUUCCCGACCGACUAUCUAUUGGUGGAAGCUGUUUUCCCGUCCGACCUAGCUGUCAGGGAUGUAGUGUUGUGGUGUAGUGACAGCGCUACACCAAGUGCUACCUUAGCCAGAUAGCAACCUGGACUAGCUUGGAGGUGAGGACGUACUCGGUAAUCAUGUAGUAGGACAUGAAGGUCGCAGCCACAUUAUUAUCAAGCAGACGGAAAAAGAUCCGUACUCGUCCAAGAAAUAGGAUAGCGGGAAAAACUGAGACUGCUGACAUUGCCCUUUCUUGAUAACUAAGAUCAUUAAGGGUUGCCAACACGACGAAAUAAAAGAACGAUCCGGGAUAGACGCAUGUCCAUCACCGAAACGACAAACGAGACUGAAAGAAAGACAUCGGUGUGAUACCUGAGCACCAUUUUUGCAAACAGUGUCGGGAUCACUUGGCAUCACUCUGCUGGGACAGAAUUGACACCAAACACCGAAAGAAAAGGAACUGGAGAAAUGCAAAGGUUGAGCUGUAGUGGAUCCGAACCGAUGUCAGCUACACUCACUAGAUAAAUCGUUAGUAACAAAUAAUAAUCUAUAUGCAUGCUAUGCGACAAACAAAUGCAGCAAUCAAGUGCAACAAACCAAUUGGGGUCUAUACUACCGCUUUCUAACGUUCGCGCGGUCUAGGGCGUUCUGCAGCCAGACCAGCUCUGAUACCAAGCACUAUGGCACCCCGGCUUAGAGAUACCGGAACGCCCCGUAUUCUAGCCCAAAGAUCGAGGAGAAGUCUUCUGGAAUACGACACUACUUAGCAUAGAACAAACCAGCUUUCUAUUAUUACACGGAUAUGAAUACGAGGUCUCCGAUAUUACAAUGAAUAACGUCGAUACGGCGACACUACGCCAUCCUCAGUUGCUCUAUGCAAGUAGCAGAACAACUCGAAGCAACGGAAGAACUCUAGCAGCUAGCGGAACAACGACGACGGUGGUGAACUCCACGCCAUAGCGACUCUGGCUGGAAUGAUUAUCCUAGCUCGCACGCACGGAAACCACGACAGAAAGCAAUCAAAUUCGGCAUGACCUGCAAGCUGGCAUGACACGCGAGGUCAGUACAUUGAAUGUACUUGCAAGCUCACAAUAAUCUAGAAGCAUUCAAGACAGACAACAACAUGGCAAUUACAGGUUAAAUAGGAAUUAUCAUGAGAUCAUCAGAAUAGCAUGUCAUCAUCAACAUAAACAUGAUACAGCUAUCACAACAUGAACAUAUUAAUCUGACAAUACUAACAUGCAACAUGAUGACACUAUAUGCACCAAUUAUUCUGUUCGGCUACCUCGUAACCAACUCAUGCAUCACUUACCAACCUCGGACAUCACACGAUCAAGUCAAGAUCAAAUCAAGCUUGGUAUAAACAAUACUGUAGUAAUCAGUAAAUGACCACAAGGAGCUUGACCUUUACCCACGAUUCUCGUACAACAUCACGAAUAUACAACAACUCGGUAUCCUCGAUACCAUUUUUAUCCUUACGGCGAUCACAACCCGACCAACACUUGGUCCCAUACCAUGGUCCUUCAGGCGAUCACAACCCGACCUCUAAAUGGCCCGUGAUCCUUACGAUGAUCACAACCAACUUAUCUCACUAUUAUUAAGCACAUUAUUCUUAUUACUGUUGACUCAUGGUGUGACCUAUUUUCAACCUGGGCCCUUAUCCGCGGGCACGGCUAUCGAUAGAUUUAAUAUACACUCUGCAGAGGUUAGUACACUAUACCCACACUACGGAACCCAUGGCCUCGCAAUCCCAUUCGGGUGGACCAACGGCAUUCCCACAAAACCGUCCCCAUCGGGCUAGUCCUGGGUAGCCCCGUGUCUACCUCCAGACACAAUGACCACCGUCGUGGCCCAUCCCACUCUAGGACAAGGAUCCAAAAACUAACUCAACAACGGGCACACAAGGCUUAUGUCCGCCUACCUUAUCGGGGUAGUGUGCACCCAUAACGUUCCCUCGUUGGAGGCACCGGAGAGAGGCACAACAAUAGACCCAGUUAGAACCGUCCCAUACCGGUAAGCGUGGUUGCACUGGUCAGCAUCGAUUCAGCGGCACCAUGACUCAGCCAACAGUUGUUCAAGUUCAAUUUAAUCCGGUUAACUUGAAUGAAAAUAUGCUGAGUCAUGAUAAAAUGCAUGAACAUGAUAUCAACAUCAUCAUGAGUGUAUCACAUAACUUUCCACCAUAUCAACAAUAAAUCAUAUCCACUGAGCAUGGCAUACUGACUAGCAUGACCAUCACCAACAUCAACAUGUACUACUAGCAAUCAUAAACAUAUGAAAGGUAAUACUAGCAGGUAGAAUAUGUUAAUAGAGUACAAGACGGCAUAGCACAAAGGUGAACAUGCAACUCUAAACAUCACUGAAACAACGAUAACCAUCUAGUCAACAAGCAAAUAUUUAACAAAGAUUCAAGUUGAAAACCAUGUCUACUGCAUGACUAUCAUGCAAGUGGAUAUUGUGGCUUGCCUGGGGAUGAAGAAGGCACCGGGGAGAAGUGCGGUGAAGCCGCGGAACAAAUUGCCAGAAAACAUUCUCUCUCGGAGGGGGCUGAUUAAGGACAGGGGGAAAAUGGUCAUUUUUAGUAUGCCAAAACAUAAUGAAAGUGACACCAAUAGAAAGGGCUCGACGAAAUGAAGAAGUGAGCGUUGGAUUCACCUCGUUUGGAGUUACGGAUAAAAAGAUAUAAGGGUUUUACCAUCAGGGACCUAUCUGUAAACAUUUAUUUUACAGACUCGGCCAAAACAGAAAAACGGAAAGCGCAUUCCAGGAUUUACGCUUCCACUUAUCCGCGUCGCAGUGGCGGGGCCGGCUCCUGUGUGGCUGACAGGUGGGUCCCACCUUAUCCACUCCCUCUCUCUCCUCCCUUCUCUUCUUCCUCUCUCCUUCUCCCGACGCCGCAUGCUCCGGCCACUCGGGCCACCUUCGGCGGAGCUUGGAUCGCCGGAGUGCUCAGGACGGUGAGGCGCACCCGUCCCACCACCACACGAACAUCAAGGAGACUCGGGCAGGGCGGGACCGUGGCCACGGCGGACGGGGCUUCAGCCGACGAUAGAGGACGAGGCCAUGGCGAUUCCGGUGACUAACAGAAGGCUGCGGGAGAGGCUAUGGUGGCUGGGUGACCUACUAGAUGUGGAAGACAGAGGAGAGGGGCUUCGGUUCACCGGAAUCAGAGUGGACAGGGGCGGCGGCCAUGGCGGCAAGGGCGGGCUCGGGAGCUCUUGGAGCUCGAACGAGUGGACGGGGAGGUUGCUGGGAGUGAGGCGAGUCUCGGGGUGAGCUCGGACGAGGCCGGGGAUGGCUUAAAUAGCCGUGGGGCAAGGUGGCCGAGCUGGCACCGCCGCGGAUGCGUGGCUGGCGCCACGGACGUAUGCCCGCACGCAUGAACUCGGGGGCAAACGAUGGAGGAGGAGAAGUGGUGGCUCUCACGGGGCAGAGGAGGCCAAGGGGGCGCAGGGAGGAAGACAAUGGUGACGGGAAGAUCCAAAACCCCACUGUGCUCUCGUGUUCACACGGCGGCGAGCAUCGGUGAGCAAGCGGACGGAGGGGGAGUGGGGUCCAGGGGAACGGCGACGAGGAGAGGAAGACAAUGGACAAGCUCACGAGCGCGAAAACAGUGAGAGGGGGAGGGGCCCAAGCAAGAAGACGCUAAGGGCGCGGCCAUUGCACGCCAAAACGGUGGUCACCGCGUGCACUGGUGCACACCGUGCCACAAGUGAUGCCAAACCAUGUCUGGGGGUUAGUCCCUCAUGGGUAAGUUGUAACUACGGUGGUAACUAAGUGAAAACGUCUCUGGUUAAAUAGUUAGUGAGCUCUGAAGUUUACUGCAGUAAAAUUUACCAGCUCAAUGUGAUCAAUAGGGAGUUACUUGAAGCCAAAGAAGUUGUCUGGGGUGUAUAGCUAUGGAGGUACUAUGAUACUGGUGAUUUUGAGGGGAAAUGGAACAAGAUAAAUGAUAGUUGCUUUGCAACUGCCAAAAUGGUCCAGAAAUGAAGAUUAGGAUGGUGCACUCACAUGGAGUGUCCACAUGAGCUCACAUUGGGCAAGGCUUAGUCAUUUGGUCAUAUGAAGAUGCUCACAAAGUAUCAUACCAUUUGGCAAAGCCAAAAUGGUACUUGGUUCACAAACAUCUCUGCUGACCAGAAACUUGAAAUAAUUAUAGUGAUCAAAUGGAUCAAUGAAAUGAUGCCAAAUUGGGUGGAUAGAUGUUUUAUGGGUAUAAGAAUGAUCUGGUAAUUUAUCAGGAUUUUUGAAGCAAUAUAAAAUACACUUGCUUCACAACCUGAAAAUAUUGCCAGAAACAAAGAUUUGCUCCUGUUCUCACAUAGAUAAUUGUAUGGGGCUGCAAAUGGGUGGAAGGGUCUAAUAUGAGCACUCUAAAGAGUCUGCAAAAUUUUAACUCAUUUGGGGACUCCUUGCUAGUACUUCCUUCACAAAGCCUUCUGUUUGACAGAAACUUUGAAAAAUCACUGAGGAAGAUUGUCUAGGCAAAUAAAUUUGAACUUGUGCAUGGGGAAAUUAUUUGUACAUAUAAACAUGCCCAAAAAGGUUGGGAUUCAAUAGGAGAAAUAUAAAUCUCACUUCCUUCACAAACUGCCAUCCAGGACAUAAUAGAAAAAGGAAUAUUGGGGAAAUAUUUUUGAACAUGGCAAUGAAAAGUUUUGCCAUAUUUGAGCAAGAAAUGACCCAAACAAUUUAUGAGAAUUAUUUGGGAGUUUUUGGAGUGAUGGAAAUAUAGGUUGCUUCACAACCUAGGGCAAUUUGAGUUAUUCCUUUAAUUGAAAAGGAAUAUUCCCAAUAAAAAGAAUAUUAGGAUUUGGGCUAGGAUGGAAAUGACAGGUUCUAGGGAAAUAUUUGGGAAUGACAAGCCACUCUGCAAGCAAAGAAGAGGUCAUGUUCUUCAGUUUCCAGACCACAAAGCCACGGAAAAAGAAAACUCACGCAAAAACCUCGAAAAAACAAAAGAAAUUUGGAGUUACUAAAAUUUUAUUUGGAGUUACUAAAAUUUUAGAAAUUUUCAGAAAAAGAUGAAGAGAUUGUUCUUGAGGGGCUCUUCUAGCCAAGGCUCUAAGGAUAAACAAGCUAAGGAGAAAGAAAAGGCCAAGUAUAAUCUUCCUCGUGUGGCAGAAGUACGGCCGUGUGAAUGGCCUUGUGAUGAUUUCUUGAGAGCAGUGGGGAUUUAUGAUGACUUUUAUUCCUUGGCUGAUAAUGCUAGCCUCACCGACUUCCUCCAUGACCAAAUCGAACAGUAACUCUUACUCACUAAUACUUUCGUGCAAAACUUCUACUAUUAUCCUAAGAAAUCACCUCCUUCGGUAGAGUUUCAUUUAUAUGGUGUGGCUAGGGAGAUGACACUAUAUGAAUUUUGCACGGUUUGCAAGAUACCCCUCGGGGGCAGCUUAGAGGAACCACAUCGUAAAGAUGUGGAUGGAUUUAUCGAUACUAUUAUCUUAGUGGAAACGAGGAAGGUUUCCGAUGCCAGAAUUACUAGCAUACAUUGCAAUAUUUGCUAGUCGAUGCUUAAUUGGUCGCGGAAACUGUGGAAACCUUAGUGUUCCUGAUCUUAGUGUUCUCAAGAGUGCUGUAUUAGGUGAUAAACAAUACAACUUGGGGGCAAUUGUUGCACGUAGGUUGGUUUAGUUGGACACUUGUUUGGAGGGAUUUAUGCAACCCGUGUGGCUAAUUAUCUUGGUAUACCUGCACAUGAAAAUGAUAGGGAGUUGGCUCCCUCUUAUUUAGAUUAUAAUGCCAUGGUUAAUCGUCAUUUUCUUGAGAGGAAUGAACAAUUCCUCCAGUAUCGACUAAUCUUUGACAGAUGUCGCGCUGUCCAUAUUAGUCUCCCUGCUCUUGCCCUUUUUGAUUAUCAGGCAAAAGGAAGAUAUGUUAUCACCAAGGAGGAGGCAAACGAGUACGAGAGGAGGACAGAGGUAGCUCGCCGCCAUGCUGCAGCUCAGGAGGCAAUCGCUGCUGCAUCUCAGUACGACCCUAGUUACAACUUCGGAUAUCAGCCAGGCUACCCAUGGCCAUAGACCAACUUAGGCCAAAAGCCUAAGCUUGGGGAGUACGUAUGUCGGUGCUCAUACUUUUUCAUGAUACUAUCCUUGCUAGUUUAAUUUCUCUUCUAGCUUUCUUCUUGUGUGUUUGAUAAACUUUAAGAAAAACCAAAAAAAUAGCUAGUUUAAUUUCCAUGCUAGUAGUAGUAAUUAAAAGAAAACCGAAAAAUAUUUCUCGUUCUUCUUUUGCUUGUUGGGAGCUUUCCCGUGUAAAUAGUUUUAUUUCUUUUUCUUUCCUUUUGGGGUCGAGAGGAGAAGACCAUGAUGAAAAUGCUUAGUGGCUCUAAUAUGCAUGAUUGUUGAUUUAACCAAGAGCCCAUAUUACCUUGUCUUCUCCCUUGAAUUGAAUGCUUGCAGAUUCCAGCUUAGUCCACUACACGUGCACUAUUAUUAUUAUUAUUCACAUCGUUCGGUCGUGCAAGUGAAAGGCAAUAAUGACGAUAUAUGAUGGAUUGAUUGAGAUGAGAGAAGCUGGUAUGACCUCGGCCUAUCUUGUUUUUGUAAAUACGAUUAGUUCAUCAUUCCUGAUUCAGCCUAUUAUGAAUAAACAUGUUUGCAAUGACAAUUAGAGAUUAUAGUUUCUUAUGUCAUGCUUAAUUAGCUAGGAGUUUAUAAUGGUUUAUCUUGCGUGCCAACAUGCUAUUAAAAUGGUUGUGAUGUGGUAUGAUAGGGUGGUAUCCUCCUUUGAAUGAUUCGAGUGACUUGACUUGGCACAUGUUCACGCAUGUGGUUGAAACAGAAUCAACAUAUCCUUCAUGAUAUUUGUGUUCAUGGUGGAUUAUAUCCUACUCAUGCUUGCACUCGGUGUUGAUUAAUUUUAAUGCAUGUUCAUGACUGUUGUCGCUCUCUCAGUUGUUCGCUUCCCAGUCUCUUGCUAGCCUUCACCUGUACUAAGCGGGAAUACUGUUUGUGCAUCCAAACUCCAUAAACCCCAAAGUUAUUCCAUAUGAGUCCACCAUACCUUCCUAUAUGCGGUAUCUACCUGCCGUUCCAAGUAAAUUUGUAUGUGCCAAACUCCAAACCUUCAAAUGAAAUUAUGUUUUGUAUGCUCGAAUAGCUCAUGUAUCAACUAGGGUUGUAUGUAUCUUCCAUGUUAGGCGGCUUAUUCUCAAGAGGAGUGGAAUCCUCUCCUCAUUCACGAGAAAAUGGCUGGUCACCGGGAUACCUAGUCCCAUGCUCAAAUCAAAUCAAAAUAAUUAAACAAAACUCCCCCACGAUUGUUGCUAGUUGGAGGCACACGUUCUUUCGGGCAAGCCAUGGAUUGAUGCUUGUUGGUGGUGGGGGAGUAUAAAAUUUACCAUUCUGUUUGGGAACCGCCUAUAAUGUGUGUAGCACGGAAGAUAUCGAGAUCUCAUAGUUGUUACAUUGACAGUGAAAGUAUACCGCUCAAAAUGCUAUUCAUCUCUAUUUCAAAAUCGAGCUCUGGCACCUCUACAAAUCCCUGCUUCCCUCUACGAAGGGCCUAUCUAUUUACUUUUAUGUUGAGUCAUCACCCUCUUAUUAAAAAGCACCUGCUGGAGAGCACCGCUGUCAUUUGCAUGCAUUACUAUUUGUUUAUAUUGGGUAUGACUAUGACUGGGUCUCUUUUACCAUGAAUUGGAAUGUUUAGUCAGUCCUUAAUCUUUAAAGGUGAUCUGCAUUUAUGUUUUGCGGUCUCAGAAAGGGCUAGCGAGAUACCAUCUUGUUAUAUCAUAUUAUGAUUGUUUUGAGAAAGUGUUGUCAUCCGAGAUUUAUUAUUAUUGCUCGCUAGUUGAUUAUGCCAUUGAUAUGAGUAAACAUGAGACCUAAGUGUUAUAGUGAAUAUGGUUAGCUCAUAAUCUUUGCUGAAAACUUGAAUGCAGACUUUACAUAUUUACAACAACAAGAGCAAACAGAGUUUGUAAAAGUUUUUCUUUAUCACUUUCAAUUUAUCAACUGAAUUUCUUGAGGACAAGCAAAGGUUUAAGCUUGGGGGAGUUGAUAUGUCUCCAUCGUAUCUACUUUUCCAAACACUUUUGCCCUUGUUUUGGACUCUGACUUGCAUGAUUUGAAUGGAACUAACCCGGACUGACGCUGUUUUCAGCAGAACUGCCAUGGUGUUAUUUUUGUGCAGAAAUAAAAGUUCUCGGAAUGACAUGAAAAUCCACGGAGCAACUUUUCAGAAUUAAUAAAAAAUACUGGCGAAAGAAACAGCAUCAGGAGGCCCACACGCUGUCCAUGAGGGUGGGGACGCGCCCCCUCCCCUAGGGUGCGGCCCCUGCCUCAUGGGCCCCCUAGACGUCCACCGACCUCGACUCCAACUCCAUAUAUUUGCUUUCGCGGAGAAAAAAAUCAGAGAGAAAGUUCCAUCGCGUUUUACGAUAUGGAGCCGCCGCCAAGCCCUCAUCUCUCUCGGGAGGGCUGAUCUGGAGUCCGUUCAGGGCUCCGAAGAGGGGGAUUCAUCGCCGUCGUCAUCAUCAACCAUCCUCCAUUACCAAUUUCAUGAUGCUCACCGUCGUGCAUGAGUAAUUCCAUCGUAGGCUUGUUGGACGGUGAUGGGUUGGAUGAGAUUUACCAUGUAAUCAAGUUAGUUUUGUUUGGGUUUGAUCCCUAGUAUCCAUUAUGUUCUGAGAUUGAUGUUGCUAUGACUGUGCUAUGCUUAAUGCUUGUCACUAGGUCCCGAGUGCCAUGGUUUCAGAUCUGAACCUAUUAUGUUUUCAUGAAUAGAUGUGAGUUCUUGAUCCUAUCUUGCAAUUCUAUUGUCACCUAUUAUGUGUUAUGAUCCGACAACCCCGAAGUGACAAUAAUCGGGAUACUUCUUGGUGAUGACCAUAGUUUGAGGAGUUCAUGUAUUCACUAUGUGUUAAUGCUUUGGUCCAGUACUGUAUUAAAAGGAGGCCUUAAUAUCCCUUAGUUUCCAUUAGGACCCCGCUACCACGGGAGGGUAGGACAAAAGAUGCCAGUUCUUUUCCAUAAGCACGUUUGACUAUAUUCGGAAUACAUGCCUACAUUACAUUGAUGAACUGGAGCUAGUUCUGUGUCACCCUAUGUUAUAACUAUUACAUGAGGAAUCGCAUCCGACAUAAUUAUCCAUCACUGAUUCAAUGCCUACGAGCUUUUCACACAUUGUGCUUUCUUACUUACUUUACCGUUGCCACUAUUACAAUUACUACAAAACUGCUACCGUUACUUUUGCUACCGUUACCGUUACUUCCAUACUACUUUACUACUAAAUACUUUGCUCCAGAUACUAAGUUAUCCAGGUGUGGUUGAAUUGAAAACUCAACUGCUAAUACUUCAGAAUAUUCUUUGGCUCCCCUUGUGUCGAAUCAAUAAAUUUGGGUCCAAAUACUCUACCCACGAAAACUGUUGUGAUCCCCUAUACUUCUGGGUUAUCAAGGUCCCAUAGGACCAGCGCACCAGAACAGCAACCGCCGCCGAUGAAGAGUAGCGUAAAUCGAAAGGAUCCAACCUGAAAACACACGAACGUAGACGAAUGACGAACAUAUCCAAGCAAAUCCACCAAGGACAGAUUUACCGGAGACACACAUCCACACGCCCACCGACAAUGCUAAAUGCACCAGCAGAACUAGGGCUAGGCGAGGAGAACCUUAUUCCAUCUUCAGGGAGCAACCACUGUCUCGUCUUCCUGAGUUGGACACAAACCCUAGCACAUCUCGAAGACACAUCUAAAAACCGAGCCUUCCCACAGGCAAAGGCCAGGAUCCGCCGCGCUCCCAUGACCCUAAGGCAACUGGAGAUGAGGCGGACCGGCGACGGCACCGGUAGGAGGCACAAGAAUCCUAGUUGGGGAGGAGGCCGCGGCCUGAGGAGUCAUGUAAUGUCCUUUAUAGGUUCACCGGUUGGCCCCUUCUAUUCUGCCGCUGCAGAUCUGACACGUCAGAACGAAUUGUUGCAAUCACCAGGCAGCAGCGAAUGCUAGCGAUUUCGGGAGCAGCUGAGCUCGAGCACAGAAUUGCAGCGUCCGGCGAGCGUAGUAGCCAGAGGAGAAACCGAGCGUGUGUAAAGCGCUAAACUACACUGCCCUAACAGAGCGUGCGUGUGAGCGCUCAUGCGCCAACCAACGCCAUAAGCAUGGUAGAGGAGCGCUCCUGCAAUUUGUUGCCUCAAAUUGGUGGGAAAACACAUAAGGACAGGCACUAGUCGGCCCAUUCAUUUCAUACUGUACAAACCCGGUAGCCAAGAUUUUUUCGGUGUUGUACACUUUUAAGCGCUUCUUUCAAUUAGGCGUUUUCUUUCUCGUAUUUUGAAAAACAUUAGAAAAACUUAUUUAUUGAAAAACUAAGUAUUGAGUUUUUACAAUAAUUUUACAAAAUGUGUACAUUUUUAAAACAUGAAUGUUUUUCAUAAUGCAGACCAUUUUUUCAAGUUUUGAACGUUUUUUCAAAAACACGAAUAUUUUUUGAAAACACUAAAAAAUUGUGAAAACAUUCAAAUGAAAUUAUCCAUUUUGAAUACUAUUCAUAUAUUUAAUAAACAUGAACAUUUUUGAACAUUUUGUGAAAAAACUGAAAAAGAACGAAGAAAACAAAAAAUAAAACCAGCAAAAGAAGAAAACCUCAAAAACCGGAAUCCUUAUUGCGUCAUAAUAAUGCAUGACUAUUUUUUAUGAAUAUGUCUUCGAAUCAAAAAUGUCUGUUAUAUAUGCAUUUGCCUAUACCUCACUUGUAGUGAGACAAAAGAACACAAAUCCUCAGGCCCCCUGUAUUGUGGCCUAGGGAUCCAUCAUUAUCCAGGAAGCCGGCUUGGUAGGCCGGCCUAGGGCCUUAUAGGCUGGUUUGUCUAGGGCCAUCAAUUUGGCCCAUGGAUCCAAUUAGAGAAAGGCCCGAGGGACUUGGAGCGGGUGACAGGGCGACUAGCGUCCAGGAGAACUCCUCCAACGACCAACUACGAUCGUGUAAUCCUAGACCCCAACACCCAUAUAUGUCGUGGCCAGAUUAGUCAAUAGACACAGAACCUUAGAACUAUUGCUCAAUCCAUCGAUUAUUGUAACCCCUAUACACAAGCAAUAUACACGAGCAGGGGUUAGGAUUUUACCUCAUCCAUGAGGGUCUGAACCUGGAUAAACCCCUUCUUAUUUCCCAUUUUGCUUAAUCGCAUGGCCAGAGUACCUUAUCAAGUGAUCUGCCGGAAAUAACUCCACCACGUCAUAAAUGGGCUAGGGCCAGAUAAUUUUUUUCUCCUUUUCUCUUAUUUUGUUUCUACUUUUGGUUCAAUUUAAAACAUCUUGUAAAUAUAUAUAUUUGGAAAGAUUCUUAAUCAAUUAUUAAUAACAUUCACUGUGCCUGAAAUAAUGGUCAUGAAAUGUAAUUAUUUUUUUGCACAAUUUGAUAAAUUGUUCAUAUCCUUCAAAAGAAUAUUCGUAUCAUUUUUAAAUGUUCGGAUGUUUAAAAAAUGAAUGAUUUUUUAACAAUGUUUAUUAAUAUAUAUAUAUAAAUUAACAGUGUAAUUUGUAAAAAAUAUUCAUACCAUUCAAAAAAUGUUUAACACUUUAAAAAUGUUCAAACAUUUUAAUUUUAAAUAUUUUUUAGUAAAUACUAUUGAAAUAGAAAAAAAUUAAAAGUUUAUAACAUAUAAAAAUGUUUGUAAAAUUUUCAAAUAUGUUCAUAAACACUUACAAAAUGUUUGGCACUUUUACGGAUAUGUUGAUGUCUUAAUUUUUUGAAAACUAUCAAUGAAAUUUACAAAAAUGUUCCUAACAGAAAUGCUAUUACAAAAAUUUAUGAAUAGAAAAUGUGUGUAAAAUUUACAGAAAUGUUCACAAUUUUUUGAAGGAGCUCGGGAUCCAAACAUCCACUCUCUACCAACUAUAUGCAUGUAUGUUGUAGCAAGCCAUGAGCCAAGGGUUGCUACAUGAUCAAUUGCUGAUAGUGCAGUGUGUUUUCUUCAUUUUGGGCAGAUCACAAGUGUUUGACAUCUCUCUCUGCAUUGGGUAUCCUUUUCCACUUGAAUUUUAAGAUACGCGGAAUGUGCUUUCCUUGUUGUUGCCUCGUCAUUCCAGCAUGGAAUCAAAGCAAAACUGAUAUUACUUCCCUUAAAAAUUGUCUCGCUAUCUAUCUCCAUAACAUGCCCAUUGGACUGCAUGGCGGAAGUGAAGGUGUGCGCCUAGCCGGCGGAGAAGACGAACUCAUCUGUGACCUCUGAUGAGCCCAUGGUGCAUGUGGGUUGGAACACUGCUUAGGAAAUCUAGACUUAUUUUGCAGGCAAGCCAAGAUGAGAUCUGUAGGCCCAUGUGAAUUCCAUCAAAAUCACGGUCAGUUCAACUCUGGUUCGAAUCCUAAUAAAAAUAGAUCAACGGUCCUAGAUGGUUAUGUCCAUUGCUAAAAAAUGCAAUUGUUGAAAGAGUCGAUAUGACUAGUAGCUAGAGGACGCUGACACCCCUCACUUCUUCUACACGUACUAAACAAACCCUAGCUUAUCCAACUCAAUUUGCUUUAAGGUUUGUGUGUGAAAGAAGUAGUCUUAAAACCAAACACCACACUCUUCAACUUGAGAAAUCAAUAGUCCAUUUACCUAUGGAUAUCAACUCUAUAUACAUCAUACUUGAUGUGUCAAGUUGAUAAUACUUACUAAACAUAUUUUAAAUUACAAUAUCUGGUGCUUCACAGUCGGUUAUGAAAUUAAUGUUCACCCAUCCAAUGCAAUAAAAAGUAUGUGAAUGAUGUUAACACACGCGCGCGCGUGUGUGUGUGAGAGAGAGAGAGAGAUUAGAGUACAUUUUGUCCUGAGAGAGAUUAGAGUACAUUUUGUCCUGAUGUCCACCAUAGUUCCACGAUCAAUACAUCUAGGAGGAGACAAUCAAAAUACCGACAGAAAAUAAAUAUUUAAUAUGUAAAUGGUAGGUGACAAAUCCAACCACAAAAUUGUGCAAACAACCCACUAGCUAGUUUUAUUGAAUAUUAAAAUGACAUAGUUGAUUUCUAAAACAUACAAAAUUUAUUAUCUCAUCAACACAUAAUUAUUUUGAGAACAAUAAGGUUGAGAUUUAUCCACCCAAAAUAGGGGAGAUAACAAAACUAUUGUGUUGUUGUUGCUGGUGUGCAAUUAAUCUUGCAGGGACAGUUGAUGAAGCAUUCUCCAAGAUCUGGCCAGCACAAGUUAUCUAUUUGACAGCAGAAUUCCCGUCCUGGGAGCUGGUGCCCAUCUUUAUAACAAGGGGGUCUGGUUACAUGGCUUACUUUGCUCAUCAUGUUUCCCCCCUUGUUGUUUAUGAUUUCACCUAAUUAACAUAAAAUAAAGAAUAUACUUGUCAUCUCAUCAUAUAAACAAUAAAAGUCCACAAUAUCAAUCCCCCCAAAAAAUUGAGUUGUUAAUUACCAUAUGUGCCUCCAAGACAAGUCAAACACACCACAAGAAGAAAAGAAAGUAGCACAAGUCCUUCCACAUUGUUCCUCAUGAACUUGGUCAUCGUCACUAAGGAAUAGAGGCUAUUAAUGGGUGGUACUCUUGUAAGCGGAGUUGAUGACUGUAUGACCGUGAAAUGCUUGCUCCAUGAAUGGUUCAUAUNNNNNNNNNNNNNNNNNNNNNNNNNNNNNNNNNNNNNNNNNNNNNNNNNNNNNNNNNNNNNNNNNNNNNNNNNNNNNNNNNNNNNNNNNNNNNNNNNNNNNNNNNNNNNNNNNNNNNNNNNNNNNNNNNNNNNNNNNNNNNNNNNNNNNNNNNNNNNNNNNNNNNNNNNNNNNNNNNNNNNNNNNNNNNNNNNNNNNNNNNNNNNNNNNNNNNNNNNNNNNNNNNNNNNNNNNNNNNNNNNNNNNNNNNNNNNNNNNNNNNNNNNNNNNNNNNNNNNNNNNNNNNNNNNNNNNNNNNNNNNNNNNNNNNNNNNNNNNNNNNNNNNNNNNNNNNNNNNNNNNNNNNNNNNNNNNNNNNNNNNNNNNNNNNNNNNNNNNNNNGAAGUUAUAGAAAAUAUUAAUGCUUGGAGUUAUGACUUGUCUGAAUUUCCAAUUUUAGUUUCACUUCUAAAGAUUCAUGGUUCCUUCUAAAGUUUUUUUUCUCAAAUUUAUGCUUUGUUAUAGCAUGUAAGUUAAUUUAAUGCCCCCUCUAGAAUUGACCACUUUUUGUUUCCAAGGGGUAGAAUUGACCUCUUAGAAUGGGUAGCAAAAAACGGGUGCAUGGUAAUAUUAUGUUUAAGGCAUUGAUAAUAAUUGGUAUAAUAUUAAUAAUUCCUAUAUAUAUGAUGCCUUAUCAAUAAAAUAUUAAUUUCUCUCUUGGUAUAAGAGAAAAAAAUUUAAAAUUCAACAAGACUCGUCACUUAACAUUGGACUUGUUUUUUAAUGUAUAUAAGAAAUUGUUCUUAACUAUAUCAACAAGUUACAGAUACAUUUUUUUUACUUUUAUUCCAUGAACAUAGAUUAAUUAUGGGAUGGCCAUUUUAUAAAUAUAAGAUGAUGAUUUAUUUUCAUAUACAUGAAAAUUUUAUAUCAAGGUACUUGAGCAUUUUUUACAUUUUUCUAUACACAAAAUCUUCUCCAAUAUUAAUUCGAUUUUGAUUUCUUUAAAUAGAUUAGUUUCCCCCAAACGUUCUUUAUUAGAAUAGUGAAAAUGUCGCACUUCACUACUGGAAUCUAGCACUUUGCCAUCUGCCAUGGCAAAUGGCAAAGGCAUGGUCGGUGGAUGGCAAAGGCUUUGCCAUCUGCCAGCAGAUGGCAAACAGUUUGUCUGAAACCCUGCCGGUAAAGGCUUCUUUGCCGUCUACUGGCUGAUGGCAAAGAGUCUGUGCCUUUGCCAUCAUCUGGCAGAUGGCAAAGCCUCUUAACGGGGUUAGCCCCGUUAGAAGGCUAACGACAUACUUUGUUGUCUGCCAGCAGAUGGCAAAGGUUGCAGGCUCUUUGCCGUCUGCCAGCAGAUGGCAAAGAGCUUUGCCAUCUGCUGGCAGAUGGCAAAGAGCCCAAAUUGGCCAGCCCAAAUUUUACAUGUAGAUGACACGUGGCCUCUUUGCCAUCUGACAGCUGAUGGCAAAGCUCUUUGCCAUCUGCCAGCAGAUGGCAAAGUGACUAUAUUGCCCCAUUUUAUUUUGUUUUUUCUUAUAUCAGUUCAUUUUCAUAGAAAAUCAAACACAAAUGUAUUUAUAUGACCAAUAUAGCAUAUUUAACACAUAUUACCAAUAGUCAUGAACACAUAUAUAUCCAACACAUGUUACCAAUAGUAGCAAGUUUCAUCCGUACAUAUACAUAGUUUCAUCAAUAUUACACAGUUUCAUCCACAGGUAGCAAGUUUCACAAGGUCAAAACAAACACUAAAUACAAGCACUCCAUCAACCCAAGCUUCCGUGAACUUAAGCAAAUCUGUAAAAUGGGAAAGAAGAAAGUUAGAAGAAGAAGACUAGAAGAAGAAGAUUAUUAUGAUGCGGAAAUAUGCAUGGAUUGUCAAAACUUGCAUUAUCCUACUAUCACUAGUACAACAAAGCUGCAGGUUUGCAUUAUCCUACUAUCAGAAAUCUGGAACUAAACUAACCUAAUUAAUCAUAACAAGGUGGCAUGCAUAGAAAUUUGGAACUAACUAAGAACUUCGAAUUAAAAGAGGAGAAGCAAAGGUUCAGGAAUUAGUUGCUCCCCUGCCGAUGCAUUGGUUGUCGAGGUUGAGGAGGUUGUGUGCAUGGCCACACCAUCGACCUGAGCUACAACCCAGCAUCCACCGCAGACCCGUCUUUGCGCUCGAAAGAGAUGACCACUUCAGACCCCUCCUAGCUCCCCUCCGAUGGUGGUCUCCUCCUUGUUCAUCCGCCUUGCUAUGGCUUCAGGGUGGUAGGCCAGGCCGUCCCUUGUCACUGGGCGUCGUCCUCCAUGGCCAGAUCUAGCCACUCCAUGGCGUCCGGGCAGGGGAGGAAGUGGCCAUCCUGUCCAUGGCGUCCCGGUGCUCGAGCGACGACGGAUCAGAGAGUUAGAGGGGACGUGGUAAAGAAGAUAAGGAAGGAGGGAUGUGGCAAGGGAAGAGAGGGGAUCUGACUCACCGGAGCAACGCUGGAGCCACACCAGCUACGCGGUAGCCCAAACCCUAGUGAAUCGGUGUUUUUCGAAUGUAACUCAUCCCUUGGCAGAAUAUUGCUGUCAUAUUCACAACGGAAGAGUUCAUGUCCAGCUGACAAUGCAGAUGAUGGAGAUGCUGAUAAGCAGAUCAAUAGUAUUUUGCAUUUUUUUACCUGGCUCGUAUCAAUUCAUGUUAAUUGCAUUCAGCUAGAAAGUAGAGUACAAUCCUGAUAAUUACAUUCAGCUACUGAAAUAAGGUAAGACAAUAUUCUGCCAAUCAUCACCCACUGGUAAACGAUGAUCUCAACAAGGUAAGACUGCAGACAAUGACCUCAAAGAGAUGUAUGUAACUAGCAACUGUGCACUCACCUGCCAUUCCAUGAAUAACCUGCAACUACUCUCACCCACAGAAUAGUUGAAAAUAUCUAAUGUUUACCAUUUAAACAAAAGACUUGGUUGGAGUGUCUUAAGAGAGCUCUUACGUAUAGGUAACAGUAUCUGUUGUGCAACUAGAUGAAUUUAACACGAAGAGUAAGUUAGAAUUUUCCAUAGAUACUAAAACAUGCUGAAAAUAGAAUGCUAGCAUUGCCAAGCUACUGAAUAGUCCAACUCUCCUAUGGCUGACAAAAACGGUAACAGACAUUUCAGAAACCAGAUGGAAUCCAACAAACAGAGGGAAAGCGGAGCAAGCUAUACUUGCGGCAUGGUAGAGAUGAAGAUCAGAGCAAGGGAAAAGAGCAGCUACUAGCAUCAGCCUGAAUUGUACGUGUACAACACAACAUCUUGUUACAAUACAGAGAUAGAUUAAGCGUAAUUUUCUUUCAACAACACACAAUCUGCGUGUCUUUAUAUUUUUUUGAAAGAUAGGGGAAAACAAAUGCAUACAGUAGAAAUUAAAAUCUCAUCUAAUAGCGUGUACUUCUGAACGAAAGAGAAGUUAGCUGGCCUCUUAAUGCUCUUCGUUGGCAGGAGGAUGACCACCUACGAUCAAGUGCGCUAUUGUGGCAUAUAUCUUCCUUCUUGCCAAAGAAGCAUGGUAGAAUUAUAAAGAGAGUAUGUUUCCAUAGACAUUUAAAAAAAGAGAUUUGUGUAUACUCAUUAUAGUGUAAGUACCAUAGAUUAUUCAGAUUAGAAGUUCUUGUCUCUACCAACAAUUUAUAUUUUCUAUACAUACUAAUAUCUAUAUCGCAUUGACAAUCAUGUAUUUAUAUGAGCUCUUUGUGGUGCGUGAUACAGCCAGAUUCCUUUUGUUAUUGCAGCAAUUUGUAAGUAUUUAAAUAUAUUUUAAUAGCUAGUUUCUUCUGUGUUAUAAAGACAAAAUAAGACAUGCAUAGACUUGCAAAUAUGUAUUAGAAAUCUGCUACUCCAAAGUAUCAUAUGAAUCAAUGUAAGUCACGAAUCGUGUGCAUAUCACGCAAAGCAGUUUUUUUGUAAGAACAAUACAUAAUACUAAUCGACGGUACAGAUGAUUCAACACAUAUGCAUCAAGACACCACUACCUUGCACAUGGUGAUAUAGGAUGGAGUUGAAUCUGAUCACCUCCUUUUUACAACUUAUAGUGUAAUGUGUACUGCUCAUAAAUAGGCAUAUAUAUAGUAAUUUUUCUUUUGAUCAAACGCUUGGUAUAUUAAUGAUCACAUUAUACAUUUAUGUAACAUUUCUUACUUGCGAAAUCUUUUACAAAUUGGAAUAUAGGAAUAUUAUUAAUACCCAGAAGAAAUACUACUAUUCGGAAAAUAUACUAACUGGUACUAUACUUAUUUUUUUCUAAUAUUGGUACUAUACUUAAUUGGACCAAAAGGUACACAUAUUUUGAUUAGUUCAAUUUUUUUUCUACAGAUUUAUCGGCGCCAUUAUUUCUCUAUGGUUGAAAUGUAUAUAAACUACUGUCUGUAUAUAUUGAUCUGCAUUUAGACAAAUAUCAUGGACAAACACACAUACUGUUUAGCACGUGUAGUUGUAAAGGUAGAACACUGAUUUCUAGUAUUAAGAAAAUAUAUUUAUAACAUCUCAUUACGAUGUAUAUGGAGUUAGCAUGAGAGAAAUAACCAAGUGUUGUGCAAGGAUCAUUCUGACUAUCCAGUGGCAGAAUAGAAAUAGGAUGCUAAGCCCAGGGAGAAUACUUAUGUCCUAUAAACCUGCAAAUACGAAGCAUGCAUUCACCAUAUAUUAGAAUUCCAAAUUUUAUAGUUUGUUUGCAUGUUGGUAAUAAGCUUUGCCCCUUGUGAUAUGGAUUAUCACAUAGAAUGGAAAGAGGAGAAAAAAUUAUGGCUUAGCAGAAUCAAGGAGGAAAAGCACUACAUGUGAAGUAUCAAAACGUUGUGAUAGCACGAACCCCACCAGAUUUGAACUCGUGCUCUUAGUAUGACAUGGAAAGAGGGGCUACUCUCCAAUUGAAGUGAAAAUAGUAGAACUUUGAGCAUAAAAAUUCUAAAAGCACAUUGCAACACGGUAUUAAGUCAAGAUUUUGCAACCGAGAGGGAAAGUCAAAUAAAUAAAUAAAUAAAUAAAUAAAUAAGGAUUCUAAUCAAACCUGUGAAUCCAAGCUAGUAUCUAACUAUUGUAUUGCCCAUAGUUUUGCAUACGCCAUGGAAAGUAUGAUACAUAGCAUGUUGAAAAAUUGUAACCAAUUAAAUAGAAGACAUUUAAUUUAAAGGCACAAUGCUAGGAGAUCAUCUCUCAGAGCAAUCAUCGCUGACAUAGACCUUCUGUUAAAUCACAUGUCUAAGCAGAACCCAGAGGUCUUUUACUUUUCCUUUAUAUGGAACCUUCAUUUUGACCUUUGGGGACUAUAGCCGCCUCAAUUAUGCAACUUUUUUUUCUAAAAUUUUAGUAUAGUGUAGUAGGAGCCUUUCCUGGUGUUCCAUANNNNNNNNNNNNNNNNNNNNNNNNNNNNNNNNNNNNNNNNNNNNNNNNNNNNNNNNNNNNNNNNNNNNNNNNNNNNNNNNNNNNNNNNNNNNNNNNNNNNNNNNNNNNNNNNNNNNNNNNNNNNNNNNNNNNNNNNNNNNNNNNNNNNNNNNNNNNNNNNNNNNNNNNNNNNNNNNNNNNNNNNNNNNNNNNNNNNNNNNNNNNNNNNNNNNNNNNNNNNNNNNNNNNNNNNNNNNNNNNNNNNNNNNNNNNNNNNNNNNNNNNNNNNNNNNNNNNNNNNNNNNNNNNNNNNNNNNNNNNNNNNNNNNNNNNNNNNNNNNNNNNNNNNNNNNNNNNNNNNNNNNNNNNNNNNNNNNNNNNNNNNNNNNNNNNNNNNNNNNNNNNNNNNNNNNNNNNNNNNNNNNNNNNNNNNNNAAACACAUACUAUAUUUAAAAGCAAAGAUGCACCUUAUGUGAGAAUCACGCAUGUGUUAUUUCUAAUCAAUGAGCCAAUAAAAUAAUAGCAUUGUAUCAUUAAAUAAAUUAUUUUUCAACUGAAUCAGACACGUGGGGUUUGACAAAAUUAAAAGUAUAUGCGAAGAUGUUAAGAAGAAAAUGUCAAUAUACAAAAUUUGUUUCUACAGGCAGAUGUGAUUUCCGUACAAAAAUAGUCUGUUUGCUUUACAAUAGAUCCACCUAAACCAAACUCCUGAGUUACUACAUGUAGAGCUCAAAAAUAUCAGAUAUAGAGUAUAAAAUGAGAAUGGAAUACUAAGUGCGUCUUACAGAAAUUAUAAGAUCUUUUAAUAGCUUUCUACAAUAUUACAUAGCAUACACGACAAUGAGGCAUGAAAUGAAUCAGUAUUGUAAAUAUGUAAAGAAGAAUAAGAAACACAAAGUAGCUGCUGCUCGAGCAACUACUACAUGCAAAUACAAUGCUUGAAAAUUUUCAAGCGUUCUCUAUGCUUUUUACCCAGAUUCAGCAUGGAUUAAAAAACCACAAUACUUAAUUCCAUGUAUCCUAAAUUCAAGCGUCAUGUUCGACUUGCCUGUGGACUUGUAGAACCAACAGCGCACUCGACAACAUCGGACAGAUAGAUCAAUCUGCAUACCGUUCGCUGUAGGUUCUUCAAUGGGAAGCAGCACGAUCCACUUUAGACCACCAUCAGUAGACCUCAUCCUACGCUCCAUCGCAUCGUUAUAUUGCAGUCAGCUCGGAACUUAUGCCAAGGAGAAUAGUUAGACCAUAGAUUUGAUAUUUGACCUCGCAUGAUAUUUGAUUUAAAGUUCAGUGAAAUAUCACGAGAAUGAAUUGCAUAUCCCAACUUUAAACUUAGAAACAUACAUGGAACUGUAAUAUUCAACAAACUUAGAAACAAAUUAAGUCGAGAAUAUAGUUUUUAUUUUGUAUUGCGGGUUACAACUACUAGAAAAGGCAGACUAUUAAUUGUUCUAAUAGUAAUAUCGUAAGCAUAUUCCAUAAUAUCUUUCUAUAUUUCUCAUUCUAUAUAUUAUUCUUUUAGAAAAUGCUAGCCCGUGCAGAUGCACGGGUUGAUGACUAGUCAAAGCUAAUUGAGGCAGAAAUGAUGUGUAAAAUUAUAUGUGUUGAUGUACUGGAUACCAAAGUGCAAAAAAAGCUAACCCUAAAUCAGAAAUCGGGUUGCUCUUGCUCACUUGCCCGCUUGCUGCCGUCGGGGACUGGUACUGGUGACUGAGAGGAAGGGCAGCGACUGCCGCCGGCUUUGCAGGGAGGCAGGGCAGGGGUGCCAGGAGGUCGGGGAAGGUGCGCAGCCAAGCCCGCGCAGAGCAGGGGCGCACGCAGGGAGCGCGUCCGCGCGGCUGGUUCCAGGAGUGCGGGAAGGAGGGGCGGGGCNNNNNNNNNNNNNNNNNNNNNNNNNNNNNNNNNNNNNNNNNNNNNNNNNNNNNNNNNNNNNNNNNNNNNNNNNNNNNNNNNNNNNNNNNNNNNNNNNNNNNNNNNNNNNNNNNNNNNNNNNNNNNNNNNNNNNNNNNNNNNNNNNNNNNNNNNNNNNNNNNNNNNNNNNNNNNNNNNNNNNNNNNNNNNNNNNNNNNNNNNNNNNNNNNNNNNNNNNNNNNNNNNNNNNNNNNNNNNNNNNNNNNNNNNNNNNNNNNNNNNNNNNNNNNNNNNNNNNNNNNNNNNNNNNNNNNNNNNNNNNNNNNNNNNNNNNNNNNNNNNNNNNNNNNNNNNNNNNNNNNNNNNNNNNNNNNNNNNNNNNNNNNNNNNNNNNNNNNNNNNNNNNNNNNGAGAGAGGGAGGGGAUAGAGGCCACAGUUUUUUUUACCUGGAAAAAAUAACCCCAUCUCUUUGCCAUCUGCCAGCAGAUGGCAAAGAAUCUUUGCCAUCUGCUGGCAGAUGGCAAAAAGGUGGGGUUGGUACGCCGUUACAUCCCUGGCAGACAUAGGAUUUGCCAACCUCUUUGCCAUCUGCUGGCCGAUGGCAAAGAAUUGGCUGAUGGCAACCAUGUUCUUUGCCGUCUGUCACUUCUUUGCCAUCUGUUUUUUAUAAGCAGAUGGCAAAGACGUUCUUUGCCAUCCGCUGGCAGAUGGCAAAAAGCUUGCCCGACUAGGGCAAAUUUCGUUAGGCGGAGCUUCCUAAUUCUCGGUACUCCCUAUACGUUCCUCCUUGCGGCUAACAACCUCCCCUUCGGACAGUCCGCGCCUGGCUGGGCUGGUCCAUUGACGACACGAAUGGACACCACUAAGUGGGAGAGUAGGAACAUAAGAAAAAUAGCCCAAGGAAAAAACAAAUAUGUAAAACUAAAAAAUAACCCAAAGAAAACGGUAACAGAAACAGAAGGAAAAAAAAGAACAAACGGAAAUACCAGUAAAAAUCAUAUCAGAACCUUUUGGAAGGCUCCCAAAAUCGGUAAAAGCCCGGUAGGAAUAUUUCGAAAGUUCGUAAAACUAGAGUGGCGCGGCGAACAUGGGUCGGCCGUCCCCAAGCUCUAGCAUCAGUUUUGUCUGCAAUCCCCGGCAAAUUGAUGUUGGCUGCUCAAAUAGGGUUUUCGCCAUUUCUCUUGUUUCUUGUUGCCUCAUAUGAGUUUCUUGUUCUUUGGGACAUACGUUGGCGCCAUUUGUACGGGUUCGAUGACCGCCAUCAAGGGUCUCUUAGUGGAAUCACAACAUCUUGCAUCGUGCGAGGGCGUGAGGAGAUUAUGGUGGCCCUGGUGGUAUUUUGGGGAGCAUUGUACCUCCACAGCGCUCCAAACGGAGAUUAGCAUCUGCAAUGUCGUCUCCGCGUGCCUCGGUUAUUUCUUAUCCGAGCCCUGUACUUUGUGAUAGCCAUAGUGUUUCAUGUUAUAUAUCUUGCUAUCACAUAGUUGUUUGUCGUGCUUAGCAUAAGUUGUUGGUGCACAUAGGUGAGCCUAGUUGUUUUAGGUUUUAUGCUUGACAAUUAGAUGCUAGUUUUAUUCCAUAUUUGUUCAAGCCUAAAUAGUAAUUAUUUUAAAGCGUCUAUUCACUCUCCCUCUAAGCAACAUCCACGAGUUUUCAAUUGGUAUCAGAGUGUUGCCUCUCUUUAUUAGACUUAACCACUUAGAGAGUAAAGAUGUCGACUAGGGGAUUAGGAUUCUUUGACACUCUUUGUUUUGAUGGCACAAUUUUUGAUGUUUGGGUAAUUCGUAUGGUUAAAUCUCUUUAGGGUCACGGACCCAAAUUUAGAGCGAAUUGUAGAUAUUAGUUUUUAUCCUUCAAAGGAGCCUCAAAGAUUAUCUCUAAAGGAUGAGAAAAACUCUUAUCUCACUGCUCAAGCUUCUAAUGUGCUUUUUGAUGCUAUGAACAAUGUAGUUAUAUUUGAACUUAUGCUGUUCUGGGAUGCUCAUGAGUUGUGGAAAAAGCUUCAAGAUAAAUAUGGUGUGUCCAGGAUUUGUGGGAAUGAUUAUUCUCCCUCCACCUCCAGUCUUAUGGUGUUCUCAACUUCUUCUACUUAACUUAUAUGUGGAUUGCCACGAGGUAGUGAUAUGGUGAGUAGUGUUGGUCAUUGCAAUGAUUAUAGUGGGCUUAUUGUUGAUGAUCCUUCAUCACUAUCUUAUUGAAUGCUCCUUCUUUGCACUUCAACACUUCGAGCUCUCUAGAUGGUUCACACGCUCGUGUUGAUAGUCCUUGCAUAUCAUGUAGAAAUUGAUCGACUAAAUCUCAUGAUGAUAUGCUUGCUAUGUCUUGCUGCCAUGAUAAAAGUGCCUCUAUUUCCUCGAGUUGUUGUGCAAACAGUGUAAAGGAAACCCUACACUCCAUGGAACAAGAUGUGGUCCUGAAUGGUGCUUCAAGGGAUCAAACAUCAUCAUCUAUUGUUUCUCACUUUUGCCUUAUGGCUACGGCUUCAAAGGUAUCUCCCAUUUUAAAUCCCAAUAUAUAUUGUGAUGAUGAUGUUCAUGAUAAUCAGGGGAGGGGCCCCACCCAGUUGAAAUCAGGGGAGGGCCGCUACCCAGUUGAAUCAGGGGGUGGAGUGAUCAGUUAGGAAAGUUAAGUAAGAUUAUGUAGGAUUUCUACGUAAUUGUACACCUACGUAGCUAUCAUACAAGAAUUUCUCCUCCCUCUCGUCCCAUACUGCAAAUUUGUCAUCUUAGGACUGACAUUUACAUUUACAAUUUAACAAGAACAGAUCACAUCAUAGUUCAAAUAAGCUAAGUAUGAAUGGACAAAAGUUUCCCAGCUAUAGGAUCAAAUUAUAGGGGUGCUGCAAAAGCAACAACUUUGAACCAAGCUUCAUUGCCUCAGUAUAUGAGAAGAAACCUGGGAGCCCUCCUUUGUUACCUUUCAUGGUGAUAAACUAAAAAUCUCGCACACAAGUUUCUUUCGGAGGUGCUGAGCCUGGGCGAGACAAAAAAAUACAGCUUUCAGUCCACCUCACGGUUUGUUCACUAUGGACACGCCCUGAACUACCAUGCUUUUACCUGACCAUGUGCAGACCGAAGGUAAAGCCCAUUGAACUCGAGGAUGUUGUGCAUGAUGUACACAUCGCUAUCCUCCUUAAGAUAACGGGAUCAGUAAUCGUCUUUGUUAGUGUGAAGCAUGACAAAAAAAUUAUCCUUGCUCAAAGUCAGAUGUACUAACCUCGUGCACAGUUUGUUCUGCGCCACUAAAGGGUACACAAAAGUCCAUCCAGUCGUGUCAACCAACCCGGCACCAAAAAUGUCAUUGAACACUCACCCCUUCGACCAUUCGAACCUCUGCGAGCCAAUGCUGGCCUCGAGCUGCCGAGGUUUCUGCUGUUGCAGUACAUCUCAUUGGUAGGAUCCCAGCAGAUUUUGUGUAUGAAGCACACCCGUGGGUAGGACAAGCAUUAGUAAAGAGCAAACUUUAAAUCUUUUGGAACACCAACUAAAAAUGUGUAACUAUUUGCUUGCGGUGCACCCACAUUCUAGUUCUAACUUUGCCAGUUCCGCAGCAGCAAACAUUUUGUCCAGUCUUAUCUGUUCUUCCUUGUCAACCUCGCCAACAACAUCUUGGUUUGUUUGACUCCAGGCAUUCGCACUAUUCACCCCAACUCCACUUCUGGCAACAUCUCACAGUCUCAGCUUCAGCUGAAGCCUGCCUCAAGCUGCGCAGCCAUGGCCCCCUGCAUGCACAAUUGACCCCGAAUAAACAUUUUUGGACUACCAACCUGACCCGAGGCCACCUCGCAGUUUUGAUGAAAUACGUAGGUUGCUCUGCCCAGCUGGUGCUCCAAUUGGUUACCUUACAUUGCAAAACAAUAUUGGUAUUUAUAUUCUUGUGGUCCAGCAUUGCUGCAUUUCUUGACAAAUAGUGCACUGGUCGAACAACAAUCAAGAUUUUUUUUGAAAAGGAGGAUGUACCCCCGUCCUCUCCAUCUGGAUGAUGCAUUCAACCAUAUUAUUAAUUAUUCACAAAGAUCAUACAAGAUGAUACAUCAAUAAGCCUGAAGCCACCAUCUUGGCAACGUUGUUGCUACUUCUAUCCCCUUGAUGAAGGUGUCCCGAAUGUCUGAGCCUAAUACCGAACAGACAUCGCACCAAAACCUAACAUCUAAAGCCGGGUGUCCCGUCCAAGCCACUACCUGGAAUGGGUCCCACACCGGUCUGGCAGACUCCGAGUGAGCACCACACGCUGCAAGGGUCGUCACCUCCAUCUUCCAUCGGUCCAUCCUUAGAGCAGAACUGAUGCACUGACCUUGCAAGGCCUCUCUGCCAUCAACGCCACCAUGAUGCCGGAUAGCUUCCUCCUCCUGCGCGAGUCCAUCUCUGCGCAUCAGACGCCAAGUAUCCACUGCGCCAUGCCGCAGAGACCCACCGUCAACGAUAUGGUUGAUGCCACACCGCUCCACCUACAUGCCAUCUCGCAUCGACUCCGAACUACCAGCAACUCCACCACCUUGAGCAGUCCCCAUCUGACGGCUUCAGGAAGGAACACGGCACCAAAGUGCCAUCAUCGCCCAAACAGAGGAACAGAGGCUUUUGCAUGCGCUCAUGGCAGAGGUGGGGGCGUAUGAUCCACACCGGAGCCUCCAGGAAGGGAAUCGGCGCCGAGGGCGUCGACUUUGGUGCGGCCGCCACGCCGGCGUGAAGUUUCCCCUGGAUCCAUGCCCACCCACCAGAUCCGUCCAGGUAGUAUUAGUGUCGACCGUAGUCGCUAUCGUAGCCAGCACAAACUGGAGUAGAUCUACUGUAGCCAGGGUAUAACGUUUGGUACAUGUGCAACGGCCAGAUACUUUUUUCGUUCGUCAACUCCCAUUCCUAACCUGAAUUACCAGGCCCCCUCCAGGGAGAGAUACGAGGGAGUUACCCCCGUCAAUUCCUCUUCCCUUCCCUCCACAACUCCUAUAUCCCCCAACCAUACAGGGGAUUUUUAGUGUCAUAGCCUCUUAAUUCCCAUUCCCAGCUUUUCUUCCCCCCAACCAAACAGGCUGUAAGAGUGAUUCUUGCAUUGCACUCCAGCAUCACAACUCCUUGCCGAACUGAAUCUACUAAGUUCCAUACAAAUUUAGGUUGAUUUAUGUACAUAUAUACAACAUGACGACAGUAGUGGUGUUGCUUUUUCGCUAAAUUCAACACACAAUGGACAGGAUAUUGUAUGCCACCUGGUUUAGAGAUAGCUAUUAAAGUUUUAUCGUUUGAGCAUCCUUAUUCAAAUUAAUAUGUCCUAACGAUACUAUUGAGGCUUCUAAGAUUUAAGUGCCCAAACUCGACUUCUGUAGAUAAACAUAGCAGUACAAUUUUUGCAUAGGUAUACACUAUCUUUCAACAUACUAUUUGAUUCCAUUGUGUAAUUUGGCUGAAAAAUUACGACGUGCUUUUGGUGACCAGACUAGAGUAGAAGUGGCAUAAGAGCUAAUGCAAGGAAGAAAAUCAUGUCCCAGACAUUUGCAUAGCCCGACUCAAAUUUGCCAAAUGUAGCAAGUUUUUUAUGCAAAUUCUAAAUGGUAUUUAAUUUAUCAAAAAUAAUGAAAUUUAGUUCAACGUUUCAGUCCUGAAGCAAACCUAAAACACGUACACUUCUUAUCCUCCUAAUCUUUGCAGAACCAGCAAACGUGGGCAAUAAGAACCGAACAAAUGAAGGCCUCUAUUUAGUCUGCAGCACAUAAACCCUUUAUGCCCAAUGUACAAAAAACAAAAUUGCAUCAAGUAAAUGUAACAGAACAGAAAAAUAAGAGAUAUAUGUAGAAACAGAAACCGAACAUAUCCGGGCAAACACAACAUCUCGCCGCGCAGAUAAAUUCUAGACGUACUUCUGAGGUGAAGAGAGAAGGUGGAUUUAGAAGCAGGAGAGCAAAGGCCCGGGGAUGGGGGCGAGAAACAGAGUUCUAAUGCCUUUGGGUCUACAUCCCCUCUAGAUAUGUAUCUUGGGGUGUCUGAUCUUGUGGCCGUGGGGCUCGUGGUGGCCAGAGAUGCCCUGCAGCCUACUAGGGUGCUAUAACAAAAUCAAAUGCCAUUGACAGCAUGGAGCUAUGUGAUACCCCACAAGUGUAGGGGAUAAUUGUAGCCUCUUUCGAUAAGUAAGAGUGUCGAACCCAACGAGAAGGUAAAGGUAGAACAAAUAUUCUCUCAAGCCCUAUCUGCCACUGAUACGACUCUACGCACGCUUGGUGUUCGCUUUACCUAGAAUAAGUAUGAAACUAGAAGUACUUUGUAGGUGUUGUUGGAUAGGUUUGCAAGAUAAUAAAGAACAUGUAAAUAAAAAGUAGAGGCUGUUUAGAUAAAGAAGCAAUAAAGUAAAGAUAGCGAGUGUGAAAAAGUGGUGGUAGGAGUAGUGAAAUUGUCCCUAAGCAAUUGACUACGUUACUUGAUCAGUAAUCAGUAUUGCAAUUUUAUUUGAGGGAGAGGCAUAAGCUAACAUCCUUUCUCUUCUUGAAUCAUAUGCACUUAUGAUUGGAACUCUAGAAAGCAUCCGCAACUACUAAAGAUCAUUAAGGUAAAACCCAACCAUAGCAGUAAAGUAUCAAGUCCCCUUUAUCCCAUACGCAAACAACCUACUUACUCGGGUUUGUGCUUCUGUCACUCACGCCAUCCACCAUAAGCAAAUCAUGAACAUAUUGCAAAUCCUACAGCGGGAAUCCCUCACGCUUGCGCGACACAGAGAGCACCAUAGGACAACACCAAUAAUAAAACAUGCAACUCAAACCAAUCAUAGCAAUUCAUCAAUCACCGAUAGGACAACGGAAAUCUACUCAGACAUCAUAGGAUGGCAACACAUCAUUGGAUAAUAAUAUGAAGCAUAAAGCACCAUGUUCAAGUAGAGGGUACAGCGGGUUGCGGGAGAGGGGACCGCUGAAUAUAGAUGGGGAAGGUGAUGGAGAUGUUGGUGAAGAUGGCGGAGGUGUUGGUGAAGAUCGCGGUGAUGAUGAUGGCCCCUGGCAGCGCUCCGGCGCCACCGUAAGAAAGGGCGAGAGAGGCCCCCUUCUUCUUCUUCUUCUUCUUCUUCUUCUUCUUCUUCUUCUUCUUCUUCUUCUUCUUCUUCUUCCUUGACCUCCUACCUGGAUGGGAGAAGGGUUUCCCCUCUGGUCCUUGGCUCCCAUGGCGUGGGAGGGGCGAGAGCCCCUCCGAGAUUGGAUCUAUCUCUUUGUCUCUCUCUGUUUCUGCGUUCUCAGAUUCUUCCCCUUCACCGUUUCUUUUAUAUACGGAUAUUCGUAACUCCGAUUGGGGUGAAUCUUUCGCCCAGAUUUUUCUCAUAAAAUUAGCUUUCUUGCGGCAAAAGAAGAGCGUCAACCACCUUACAGGGUGCCAGAGAUAGUCCAGGGUGCACCUUCCUCCCUAGGGCACCCCCCUUGUCUCGUGGCCCCCUCGGGUACCGUCUCGUGUUGAUUCUUCCUCCCAAAAAUCACAAAUAUCCCAAAAUAAUUCUCCGUCCAUUUUUAUCCCGUUUGGACUCCGUUUGAUAUUGGUUUCCUAUGAAACAUAAAACAUGCAACAAACAGGAACUGGCACUGGGCACUGGAUCAAUAUGUUAGUCCCAGAAAUAGUAUAAGAAUUUGCCAAAAGUAUAUGAAAGUUGAAUAAUAUUGGCAUGGAACAAUCAAAAAUUAUAGAUACGACGGAGGCAUAUCAGCAUGCCCAAGCUUAAUUCCUGCUCGUCCUCGAGUAGGCACAUGAUAAAAAAGAUAAUUUUUUAUGUGGAAUGCUACCUAGCAUAAUCUUGAUCACGUAUCUAAUCAUGGCAUGAAUAUUAAGACACGAGUGAUUCAAAGCAAUAGUCUAUCAUUUGACAUAAAAAUGAUAAUACUUCGAGCGUACUAAUAAAGCAAUCAUGUCCUUUCAAAACAACAAGGCCAAAGCAAGCUUAUCCCUACAAAAUCAUAUAGUUUGGUCAUGCUUCAUUUUCGUCACACAAAAUGCUCCAUCAUGCACAAUCCCGAUGACAAGCCUAGCAAUUGGUUCAUACUUUUUAACGCGCUUCAGCUUUUUCAACUCUCACGCAAUACAUGAGCGCAAGCCAUGGAUAUAGCACUAUAGGUGGAAUAGAAUAUGAUGGUGGGGGUUUAUGUGGAGAAGACAAAAAGGGAGAAAGUCUCACAUCGAUGCGGCUAAUCAACGGGCUAUGGAGAUGCCCAUUAAUUGAUGUCAAUGCGAUGAGUAGGGAUUGCCAUGCAACGGAUGCACUAACAGCUAUAAGUGUAUGAAAGCUCAAACUGAAACUAGUGGGUGUGCAUCCAACUUGCUUGCUAAUGAAGACCUAGGGCAUUUGAGGAAGCCCAUCGUUGUAAUAUACAAGCCAAGUUCUAUAAUGAAAAUUCCCACUAGGAUAUGAAAGUGACAAUAUAGGAGACUCUCUGUAUGAAGAACAUGGUGCUACUCUGAAGCACAAGUGUGGUAAAAGGAUAGUAACAUUGCCCCCCUUUUUUUCACUCUUUUUUGGUGGGCUUCUUUGGCCCCCCUUUUUUAUUUAGGCUUAUUUGGCCUCUUUUUUUAUGGGGCAAUGCUCUAUAAUGAUGAUCAUCACACUUUAUUUACCUACAACUCAAUAUUACAACACGAUAUUGGAACAAAGAUAUGACUCUAUAUGAAUGCUUUCGGCGGUGUACCGGGAUGUGCAAUGAUCUAGCAUAGCAAUUACAUGAAAAAAAUGGACAAGCCAUGAAAACAUCAUGCUAGCUAUCUUACGAUCAUGAAAAGCAAUAUGACAAUGAAUGCUCAAGUCAUGUAUAAGAUGAUGAUGGAAGUUGCAUGGCAAUAUAUCUCGGAAUGGCUAUGGAAAUGCCAUAAUAGGUAGGUACGGUGGCUGUUUUGAGCAAGAUAUAAGGAGGCUUAUGUGUGACAGAGCGUAUAAUAUCACGGGGUUUGGAUGUACCGGCGAAGUUUGCACCAACUCUCAAGGUAAGAAAGGACAAUGCGCGGUACCGAAGAGGCUAGCAAUGAUGGAAAGGUAAAAGUGCGUAUAAUCCAUGAACUCACAUUAGUCAUAAAGAACUCAUGUAUUUAUUGCAAAAGUUUAUUAGCCCAUGAAGCAAAGUAUUACUACGCAUGCCCCUAGGGGGAUAGAUUGGUAGGAAAAGACCAUCGCUCGUCCCUGACCGCCACUCAUAAGGAAGACAAUCAAAGAAACACCCCAUGCUUCAACUUUGUCACACAAGGUUACCAUAUGCGCAUGCUACGGGACUUGCAAACCUCAACACAAGUGUCUCUACAAUCCACAACCACCCACUAGCAUGACUCUAAUAUCACCACCUUUAUAUUGCAAAACUAUUGCAAGGAAUCAAACAUACCAUAUUCAGCGAUCUACAAGUUUAUGUAGGAUUUUAUGACUAACCAUGUGAAUGACCAAUUCCUGUCAUCUCUCUAAAUAGAUCUAAGUGAAGCAAGAGAGUUUAAUUCUUUCUACAAAAGAUAUGCCCACGCUUUAACAAAUAUAAGUGAAGCAAAAGAGUAUUCUACAAAUGGUGGUUUUCUAUGUGAAGAGAAAUAGGUAAUCCAAACUUCAAAUGAUAUAAGUGAAGCACAUGAAGCAUUCUUUAAAGCCAUACUCAAAAGAUAUAAUUGAAGUGCAAUUAGCAUUCUAUGAAUCAACCAAGAACUAUGUCAUACCAGCAUGGUGCAUAAAAUGAAACUGAAAACUAAAUGCAAAAGACGCUCCAAGACUUGCACAUGUCGCAUGAACGAAACGAAUACGAAAACAUACUGAUACUUGUUGAAGACAGAGGGGGUGCCUUCCGGGGCAUCCCCAAGCUUAGACGCUUGAGUCUCCUUGAAUAUUUACUUGGGGUGCCUUGGUAAUCCCCAAGAUUUAGCUCUUGCCUCUCUUCCUUUUCCUCAUAUCAAGACCUCCUCGAUUACACACUUGAUCCACACAAAACUUCAACAGAAAACUCGGUAAGAUCCGUUAGUAUAAUAAAGCAAAUCACUACUCUACGUACUGUUGCAAACCAAUUCAUAUUUUGUUUUUGCAUUAUGUCUACUGUAAUAUAGCUUUUCCAUGGCUUAAUCCACUGAUAUAAAUUGAUAGAUUCAUCAAAACAAGCAAACUAUGCAUCCAAAACAGAAUCUGUCAAAAACAGAACAGUCUGUAGAAAUCUGAACAUUUACCAUACUUCUCGUACCCCAAAACUUCUACCAAAAUUAGGAAAAAUAAGCAAUUUGUACAGAAAGACAGUGCAAAAAGAAUCAGAACCAUUUGACGUUCCAGCAAAAAAUGUAAAAUCGUGCACUACAGACAAAGUUUCUGUCCUGCACUGUACAAACCAACAAGCAUUGUAAACAUCCUAAAGGCAAACCUUGGCACAUUAUUUUUAUAAUACAUUGGAAUUGUACAAGGGGAUAAUUACUUUUGAUGAAAAGUUUCUGUAAUCAAGAUUCACAAAGUUUCCGUGAGCAUGAACAAAGUUAAAGGAGCUCUCCCACUUCAACAAUGCUUGUCUCUCUCACUUUCACUUUCCUUUUGAAAAGUUUUGGGUUCCCCUAUUUAUUUAUUUAUUUAUUUGUUUUUAAACUAUAUAAAAGCACUCAACAGAAAAAAAUGACUCUCUAAAACUUCAGGGUUGUCUCCCUGGCAGCGAUUUGUUUAAAGCCAUUAAGCUAGGCAUAUAGUGCUCAAGUAAUGGAUCCACCCGGAUCCCAAGGUAUAUCAAAGCCAAUUUUAAUUAACAAUGAUUUGUGAUUUAGUAGUGAGCACAAAGUAACAUAUAUCAAGCAAUGAUGAAGUCUAACUCUCUUCCUAUGCAUCGGCAUGUCAUAAAAGAACAAUUCAUGCACACAUAGUAAAGGCCAAUGCAUAGUAUAAGUAGUUUCUUGCAGUUUUAUCAUAUUGGAAACAUAGAGAGGUGGAGAUAUAGUUCCUCUCUCGUAAUAAUUGCAAGUAUGAGCAGCAAUCACAUGCAUAUUAUAUCCAUCAAAAUUAUCAUGUGCAACGGUAAAAGGCAUCCCAUCAAUAUAAUCCUUAAUAAGCACAAACUUCUCCGAUAUAGUGUAGUUGAGAGAAUUCAAAAAGAUAGUAGGACUAUCAUGCGUGGGUGCAAUAGCAACAAUUUCAUGUGUAACAUAAGGAACUAUAGCAAGUUCAUCUCCAUAAGCAUAACUCAUAUUGGCAUCUUGGCCACAAGCAUAGGAAAAGCAUCAUCAAAAAGGGGUAUUUGAAGAGAAUCAACGGGAUCAUAGCAAUCAUCACAGCAAUCAUCCUUCGGUAAGCACGAAGGGGAAUUAAACAAUGUAUGAGUUGAAGAGUUACUCUCAUUAGAAGGUGGGCACGGGUAGCUAAUCCGCUCUUUCUCCUUCUGUUCUUCGCUCUCCUCAUCAUCUUUUUCAUCCAAUGAGCUCACAGUUUCAUCAAUUUCUUCUUCCAUAGCUUCCUGCAAAAUAUUAGUCUCUUCUUGGACAGCGAAGUAGUCCUCAAUAUAUAGUUUAGCAUCGGCAUUAGAAGCAUAAUUAUCAUAGCAAUAUUCAAGUAUGGCAAAAUUUUCAGAUUUGUAGAGAGUAGCAUCAUACUUUUCAAUCAAAGAAGCAAUUUCAGAAGCACCCUUAAAAGCAACAAAUUCUUCAAUUUGUUGAACAUCAUAGUAAUUAUAAACACCCUUAGCAUAUGAAGAUACGAUUCCAUUAUCACUAAACAAGCAUUGGUAGGGAAGGUCUUUCUUAGGGUUAUCAGAACAACAAGUAACACCAUAUAUUUCAUAUAAAGUCCCAGCAUAGCAUGGAAAACGAUGAAUUUGAUCCAGUAAAAGUUUCCCCUUUUCAGAUAUACGGUGUCGCACAUAACAAGCAUGCUCAUCUAAAGAUUUGCCCUCAACUAAGCAAGUGGGGGUUUAGGCACGAGCACAAAGGGAUCGAAGAUGAUCCAAGUAAAAACCUUCAGGAGUGAUACAUUUUGAGUGGUUCUUCAACCAUUGGUUCAGUAGGUACAACUAAUUUUUUUGGUAUUUUGCAUUUCCUACCCAAAACUAAAGAUAGAAAACAACUAAGAAUAGCAAAUAAAAAUUACUUAGUGAUAAAGCAAACAAGCACACAUGAGAAUAUUCACCCCAUGCUAUGACUCCCAGGCAACGGCGCUAAAAAAAGGUCUUGAUAACCCACAAGUGUAGGGAAUAAUUGUAGCCUCUUUCGAUAAGUAAGAGUGUCGAACCCAACGAGGAGCUAAAGGUAGAACAAAUAUACGACUCUACGCACACUUAGUGUUCGCUUUACCUAGAACAAGUAUGAAACUAGAAGUACUUUGUAGGUGUUGUUGGAUAGGUUUGCAAGAUAAUAAAGAACACGUAAAUAAAAACUAGGGGCUGUUUAGAUAAAGAAGCAAUAAAGUAAAUAUAGCGAGUGUGGAAAAGUGGUGGUAGGAGUUGUGAAAUUGUCCCUAAGCAAUUGACUACGUUACUAGAUCGGUAAUCACUAUUGCAAUUUAUUUGAGGGAGAGGCAUAAGCUAACAUACUUUCUCUUCUUGGAUCAUAUGCACUUAUGAAUGGAACUCUAGCAAGCAUCCGCAACUACUAAAGAUCAUUAAGGUAAAACCCAACCAUAGCACUAAAGUAUCAAGUCCCCUUUAUCCCAUAUGCAAACAACCUACUUACUCGGGUCUGUGCUUCUGUCACUCACGCCACCCACCAUAAGCAAAUCAUGAACAUAUUGCAAACCCUACAGCGGGAAUCCCUCACGCUUGCACGACAUGGAGAGCACCAUAGGACAGCACCAAUAAUAAAACAUGCAACUCAAACCAAUCAUAGCAAUUCAUCAAUCACCGAUAAGACAACAGAAAUCUACUCAGACAUCAUAGGAUGGCAACACAUUAUUGGAUAAUAAUAUGAAGCAUAAAGAACCAUGUUCAAGUAGAGGGUACAGUUGGUUGUGGGAGAGUGGACCCCUGAAUAUAGAUGGGGGAAGGUGAUGGAGAUGUUGGUGAAGAUGGCGGAGGUGUUGGUGAAGAUCGCGGUGAUGAUGAUGGCCCCUGGCAGUGCUCCGGCGCCACCAGAAGCAAGGGGGAGAGAAGCCCCCUUCUUCUUCUUCUUCUUCUUUUUCCUUGACAUCCUCCCUAGAUGGGAGAAGGGUUUCCCCUCUGGUCCUUGGCUCCCAUGGCAUGGGAGGGGCGAGAGCCCCUCCGAGAUUGGAUCUAUCUCUCUGUCUCUCUCUGUUUCUGCGUUCUCAUAUUCUUCCCCUUCACCGUUUCUUUUAUAUCCGGAGAUCCGUAACUCCGAUUGGGGUGAAUCUUUCGCCCAGAUUUUCUAAUAAAAUUAGCUUUCUUGCGGCAAAAGAAGAGCGUCAGCCGCCUUACGGGGUGCCCAGGAGAGUCUAGGGCGUGCCGGCCUCCCUGGGGCGCGCCUCCCUGUCUCGUGGCCGCCUCGGGCACCGUCUCGCGUUGAUUCUUCCUCCCAAAAAUCACAAAUAUUCCAAAAUAAUUCUCCGUGCGUUUUUAUUCCGUUUGGACUCUGUUUGAUAUUGGUUUCCUCCGAAACAUGAAACAUGCAACAAACAGGAACUGGCACUGGGCACGGGAUCAAUAUGUUAGUCCCAAAAAUAGUAUAAAAAGUUGCCAAAAGUAUAUGAAAGUUGAAUAAUAUUGGCAUGGAACAAUAAAAAAUUAUAGAUACGACGGAGACGUAUCACUAUGUCAGGAGUGUGGCGGCCCUCUUGGACAUCAGAGCGCGCGUAGGAUGCUGGUACGUAGUGGUGGGCGCUGCCGUUGAGAUCAAGGUUGGGGGAGAUGGGAGGGGUGCCCCUGGGCGUGCUAAAUAAAGGAGCCUGGGAGCUGGCCGGGCACCUCCAUUGGUGUUAGGUUGCUGCCAAUGCAUGGGUGCUUAGAUGAGGUGCUAAGCACAUUAAAUAGCUUAGCAACUAUACUCCCCAAUGCAUAGGUGCUUAGCUUAUGGUUGCUAAGCUUGCUUCAUUUAAUGAUUUAGCAACUAAAGUUCUUCAUGUAUUGGUGGACUUCUUUCCUUUAAUUGUUUUGCCUAGGUUUACGAGCUUAGCAUUGUCUCUUCCUGGGUCACCACACUCGUCUCUCUCCUCUUAAAUAACUUGCCACAUCAAAUUUUUUGCCUAUGUGGAAGGCUUAGCACCUGUACAAGGUGGAGCAUUGGGAGAGGCCUUAAUGGAUUUUUAGCAACGGUAACAUUACUCCUCGCUUGAAUACCGGUGGACGAUCUCCAAUCACCCACUAUGCUGCAUCGCUGCCCAUUAAUGCGUCGCUAUCUCUACGCAUUUCCCGCACACUGCCCUUCCCAAAGCAGACACUCUUUCUUGCGAUAUUCCUUGUGCUAACCGGGCCGAUGUUAAACAACAGAUGAUGGCAAGCGAAUAUGUUACAGUGAGCUUAAAUGGGAUUCUUGAGGGAGAAGGGUAUGAUUAACCAUAAACCACCGAUUUUGUGACAGGAGUAGCAGCCAAUGAGGCAUCCAGUCCACUUAGUGCUAUUUAAAAGUAUCUUACGGCCAAAAAGCGACCAUCACAAAAUGAUCCAAUGGUUAGGAACGGUGCUGGACUGAGAGGGCAGGAAAGAUGCUCAGGUAUAAUGUAUCCAUAUGUCCUUCCCACGAUAUUGAGCAUGAACAUUUGUUGUGCUUGGACCAGCGUCCCUUAAGGUGCACACUAUCCGGAUAGACUUUGCUGGUUGCCACCCCCAUAUCUUUGGGACAUAGAGUGGAUGUGACUUUCACGGUGAUUGGUGAUGUACCAACUAUUGUCAUACCCAUGCAGCAACCGUACCAAAACAGGGCACUCACACCUACAUGAACUGUUGUUUACUGACUCUGGCUUCCCCUGCACACCAGCUAGCACAUGUCAUGGUCAGCGCAACUAAAUUAGUGAUGGGAGCCCCACAAAUAAAAGGACAGAAGAGAAGAGAGUGGCGUUUUGGCACAUGGAAGCACGUGUUCCUAUUUUUAAAAUUUAUUUUAAACAUACUUUGAAAUAUCAAAAAAAUUCAAACAAAAACUUGGCGCGUACAUCUCGAUAUUAUACAUUCUCACAAAGUUGUUUCGCGAAAAACUGACAACUCACGCGUCGCGUGUGAAAAAGACAAAAUCCGGUCUUAAAAAAUACUUUUCACAAAACAUCCUUUUGUCUUUUUUACACAAGCCACAAAAAAUGGUGGGUUUUCUUCGAAACUUGACAUGCACACAUAUAAUGUCAAAAUGUAUGCGCCAAAUUUUUGUUUGGAAUUUUUUCACACAUUGAAAUAUUUUUUUUGUGUCCAGGAGCGCGCGCUCCAGGGAGCAGCAACAUAUAUCCACAUAAUAGAUAAGCAGAAGGCACUACAUGCCAAGCAGCCACAAAUGAUUUCCUGCAUCUAUUUGGUCCUCUCAGCAUUAAAUCUAGUCUUACAAUACCUGAUCCCAAACCCAAUCUCCCAUGAAUACAAGUUGUAGAUGUCGUGCGCCUCACCUAGCGAGUAGUGAGUUGAAUUCAGUCCCAGUUCUGGCUUGAUUACACUCUCCCUAGCCUCCUCUGCACAUUUCCGAAUCGACUGCUCCAAUGCCCUCAUCCUACAUGGACAAGGCCUUUUGUCCGAUGGAGAACUCUUGAGGCGUAACCUGAUUUUUUAGCAACACAGUCAAUCGGAUAGAUGCAGGCUUACCUCUUAUGUCCAUCCUGGUCCUCCGGAUUGACCCUAUCAGUAGACCCGGACCAUGUCGGAGACGCCUUUUUUCACCGGCUUCCUUCGCCACCUUGCUGCCCGCACCCAGACCCAACAUUGGAGUUCCCCGGCUCAGUCGGGUGGGCAUCACCGCGUAACUGGAUCGGGAUGCUCCAACAUGUUCGCAAACUUCUCCGGCAAAGGAAACCUGCAAGACACACCAUGGCCACUGGCGGUGGAAGUGGGAUGAGGGGACAACGGUUGUACGAAGCACCAACUCUCAAAAAUCGACGUGGAUGAGGGGGCGGGUUGAACUCACCGGUUGAAGGCAUCGAACAGGAACUCAAGCCCCGCAUCCUCCAUCGCCAACACCGCCAGAACUAGCAAAAGCCGCCUCAAUUACGGAUGGAGUGGGCUGAUGUGAGGGCGGGUUUGGCGGACCUCCUACUGGCGGUCUCAAUCCCUGGUUGACCUACCGAGAAAGGUCCACAAAUUCGUCUGUGUGACGGCUCAAGUUUUUCGCGUAACCCUAGGCCACGGCUCAAACAGAAAUUCUCUGUCCUGGUCCACGGAGCAUUAAAUCCCGCCCGAGUCAAGGCGCCCAUCCCUACUUAAUUGGCCGCACACACGGUCGCACUGUUUCAUGCUGUAUACAAGCCGUAUCCUCAUUAUUUGCCGGUGCAGAUUUUUUUCGGAAAAACAUCCAAUAUAUUCAUCUUCAAUCAUGGCGGUACAACAAACACCAGAAAUAAUAAAAUUUAUAUCUAGAUCCGUAGACCGCCUAGCGACGACUACAAGCACUAAAGCGAGCCGAAUGCGCGCCGCUGUCAUUGCCCCUCCCUCACUGGAGCUGGGCAGAACUUGUUGUAGUAGACAGCAGGGAAGUCGUCGUCCUAAGGUCCCAUAGGACCAUCUCACCAGAAUAGCAACCACCGCCGAUGAAGUGUAGCACAAAUCGAAAGGAUCCAACCUGAAAACACACGAACGUAGACGAACGACGAACAUAUCCAAGCAAAUCCACCAAUGACAGAUCUACCGGAGACACACAUCCACACGCCCACCGACAAUGCUAAAUGCACCACCAGAACUGGGGCUAGGCGAGGAGAACCUUAUUCCAUCUUCAGGGAGCAGCCAUUGUCUCAUCUUUCUGAGUUGGACACAAACCCUAACAAAUCUCGAAGACACAUCUAAAAACCGAUCCCUUCCCUGGCAAGGGCCAGGAUCCGCUGCGCUCCCAUGACCCUAAGGCAACCGGAGAUGAGGCGGACCAGCGCCGGCGCCGGUGGGAGGCACAUGAAUCCUAGUUGGGGAGGAGGAGGCGGCCUGAGGAUUCAUGUAACGUCCUUUCUAGGUUCACCGGUUGUCCCCUUCUAUUCUGCCGAUGCAGAUCUGACACGUCAAAACGAAUUGUUGCAAUCCCCAGGCAGCAGCGAAUGCUAGCGAUAUUGGGAGCAGCUGAGCUCGAGCACCGAAUCGCUGCGUCCCGCGAGCAUAGUAGCCAGAAGAGAAACCGAGCGUGUAUAAAGCGCUAAACUACACUGCCCUAACAGAGCGUGCGUGUGAGCGCUGAUGCGCCAACCAACGCCAUAAGCAUGGUAGAGGAGUGCUCCUGCAAUUUGUUGCCUCAAAUAGGUGGGGAAACACAUAAGGACAGGCACUGGUCGGCCCAUUCAUUUCAUACUGUACAAACCCGGUAGCCAAGAUUUUUUCGGUGUUGUACACUUUCAAGCGCUUUUUCAAUUAGGCGUUUUCUUUUUCAUAUUUUGAAAAACAUUAGAAAAACUUAUUUAUUGAAAAACUAAGUAUUGAGUUUUUAAAAUAAUUUUACAAAAUGUGAACAUUUUUAAAAACAUGAAUGUUUUCAUAAUGCAGACCAUUUUUUCAAGUUUUGAACAUUUUUUCAAAAACACGAAUAUUUUUGGAAAACACUAAAAAAUUGUGAAAACAUUCAAAUGAAAUUAUCCAUUUUGAAAAACUAUUCAUAUAUUUAAUAAACAUGAACAUUUUUGAAGAUUUUGUGAAAAAAUCUGAAAAAGAACAAAAGAAAACAAAAUAUAAACCAGCAAAAGAAGAAAACCUAAAAAACCGGAAUCCUUAAUGCGUCAUAAUAAUGCACGUCUAUUUUUUAUGAAUAUGUCUUCGAAUCAAAAAUUUCUUUCAUAUAUGGGUUUGCCUAUACCUCACUUGUAGUGAGGCAAAAGAACACAACGCCUCAGGCCCCCUGUAUUGUGGCCUAGGGAUUCUUCAUUAUGCAGGAAGCCGGCUUGGUAGGCCGGCCCAGGGCCUCAUAGGUCGGCUUGUCCAGGGCCAUCAAUCUGGCCCAUGGAUCCAAUUAGAGAAAGGCUCGGGGAACUUGGAGCGGGUGACAGGGUGACUAGCGUCCAGGAGAACUCCUCCAAUGACCAACUACGAUCGUGUAAUCUUAGACCCCGACACCCAUAUAUGUGGUGGCUAGAUUAGUCAAUAGACACAGAACCUUAGAACUAUUGCUCAAUCCAUCGAUUAUUGUAACCCCUAUACACAAGCAAUAUACACGAGCAGGGGUUAGGAUUUUAGCUCAUCCAUGAGGGUCUGAACCUGGAUAAACCCCUUCUUAUUUCCCAUUUGGUUUAAUCGCAUGGCCAGAGAACCUUAUCAAGUGAUCUGUCGGAAAUAACUCCACCAGUCAUAAAUGGGCUAGGGCCAGAUAAUUUUUUUCUCCUUUUCUCUUAUUUUGUUUCUACUUUUGGUUCAAUUUAAAACAUAUUGUAAAUAUAUAUAUUUGGAAAUAUUCUUCAUCAAUUAUUAAUAACAUUCACCAUGCCUGAAAUAAUGGUCAUGAAAUGAAAUUAUUUUUUUGCACAAUUUGAGAAAUUGUUCAUAUCCUUCAAACGAAUAUUCGUAUCAUUUUUAAAAUGUUCGCGUGUUUAAAAAUGAAUGAAUUUUUAACAAUGUUUAUUAAAAUAUAUAAAAAUUAACAGUGUAAUUUGUAAAAAAUGUUCAUACCAUUCAAAUAAUGUUUAACACUUUAAAAAUGUUCAAACAUUUUAAUUUUAAGUAUUUUUUAGUAAAUACUAUUGAUAUAGAAAAAAAUUGACAAAAAAUUAAAAGUUUGUAACAUAUAAAAAUGUUUGUAAAAUUUUCAAAAUAUGUUCAUAAACACUUACGAAAUGUUUGGCACAUUUACGGAUAUGUUGAUGUCUUAAUUUUUUGAAAACUAUCAAUGAAAUUUACAAAAAUGUUCCUAGCAGAAAUGCUAUUACAAAAAUUUAUGAAUAGAAAAUGUGUAUAAAAUUUACAGAAAAGUUCACAAUUUUUUGAAACUUUAAAGCUGGCUUCUGAUUUUUUUUCAAAAUUUUGAGGUCCAUGGAGCUCGGGAUCCAAACAUCCACUCUCUACCAACUAUAUGCAUGUAUCUUGUAGCAAGCCAUGAGCCAAGGGUUGCUACAUGAUCAAUUGCUGACUGGGCAGUGUGUUUUCUUCAUUUAGGGCAGAUCACAAGUGUUUGACAUCUCUCUCUACAUUGGGUAUCCUUUUCCACUUGAAUUUUAAGAUGCGCAGAAUGUGCUUUCCUUGUUGUUGCCUCGUCAUUCCAGCAUGGAAUCAAAGCAAAAAUGAUAUUACUUCCCUUAAAAAUUGUCUCGCUAUCUAUGUCCAUAACAUGCCCAUUGGACUGCAUGGCAGAAGUGAAGGUGUGUGCCUAGCUGGCGGAGCAGACACACUCAUCUGUGACCUCUGAUCUAAGAAUGACAUGUACUUUGUUGUGAGCCCAUGGUGCAUGUGGGUUGGAACGCUCCUUAGGAAAUCUAGACUUAUUUUGCAGGCAAGCCAAGAUGAGAUCUGUAGGCCCAUGUGAAUUCCAUCAAAAUCACGCUCAGUUCAACUCUGGUUCGAAUCCUAAUAAAAAAUAGCUCAGCGGUCCUAGAUGGAUAUGUCCAUUGCUAAAAAAUGCAGUUUUUGAAAGAGUCAAUUUGACUUGUAGCUAGAGGACGCCGACACCUGUCACUUCUUCUACACGCACUAAACAAACCCUAGCUUAUCCAACUCAAUUUGCUUUAAGGUUUGUGUGUGAAAGAAGUAGUGUUAAAACCAAACACCACACUCUUCGACCUGAGAAAUCAAUAGUAAAUUUACCUAUGGAUAUUAAAUCUAUAUACAUCAUACUUGAUUUGUCAAGUUGAUAAUACUUACUAAACAUAUUUCAAAUUACAAUAUUUGGUGCUUCACAGCCUGUUAUGAAAUUAUUGUUCACCCAUCCAAUACAAUAAAAAGUAUUUGAAUGAUGUUAACGCACGCGUGAGAGAGAGAGAGAGAGAGAAAGACUAGAGUACAUUUUGUCGUGAUGUCCAUCAUAGUUCCACGAUUAGUACACCUAGGAGGAGACAAUCAAAAUAUGGACAGAAAAUAAAUAUUUAAUAUGUAAAUGGUAGGUAACAAAUCCAACCACAAAAUUGUGCAAGCAACCCACUAGCUAGUUUUAUUGAAUAUUAAAAUAACAUAGUUGAUUUCUAAAACAUAUAAGAUUUAUUAUCUCAUCAACACAUAAUUAUUUUGAGAACCAUAAGGUUGAGAUUUAUCCACCCAAAAUAGGGGAGAUAACAAAACUAUUGUGUUGUUGUUGCUGGUGUGCAAUUAAUCUUGCAGGGACAAUUGAUGAAGCAUUCUCCAAGAUCUGGCCAGCACAAGUUAUCUAUUUGACAGCAGAAUUCCCGUCCUGGGAGCUGGUGCCCAUCUUUAUAACAAGGGGGUCUGGUUACAUGGCUUACUUUGCUCAUCAUGUUUCUCCCCUUGUUGUUUAUGAGUUCACCUAAUUAACAUAAAAUAAAGAAUAUACUUAUCAUCUCAUCAUAUAAACAAUAAAAGUCCACAAUAUCAAUCCCCCC
This 79022-nucleotide long non-coding RNA is filed under the name Triticum aestivum (bread wheat). Its description in RNAcentral is "long non-coding RNA (TAES_LNC006571)". Lineage: Eukaryota; Viridiplantae; Streptophyta; Magnoliopsida; Poales; Poaceae. The record is from RNAcentral.